RNAcentral lists this long non-coding RNA (57265 nucleotides) under Citrus maxima (pomelo). RNAcentral's name for it is "long non-coding RNA (CMAX_LNC000914)". Lineage: Eukaryota; Viridiplantae; Streptophyta; Magnoliopsida; Sapindales; Rutaceae. The record is from RNAcentral.
UGAGCUUCGGCCUUGAUGUUUUCUGCUCCUCAAGCAGUUCAGUGGCAGAAACGUAUAGGGUGUGUACAACAUCAGGGGUUUAGCAAAUACAUUUUGGCAAGCGGAAUUGAGUGAAGACUGAAGAAGCCCGUUCAUGUGGGAAGUUUACCUCAAGCUUUUUACUAGUGGGUCUUGUGUAAGAUACAUAUUUCCGAAAUGCAUACUCUAUACUCUACGGUCAUUUUGUCGGUCGUUGAUUUGUUGUUUAGUUUAGACAUUGAGAAUGCAAGUGGCGAAGCAAGCUGUAAUCGAUUGAACGCUUUAUUUUGACUUGUUCAAUGCUUCAAAUAUAUUAUUUCACUUUUUGAGGACUUUUAUGGUCAUCUUUUGAUAAAUUUGUAGGCUCCAGCUAAGUUGCAGGUAUUGUUAGUAACAGCCAACUGAGCUGAACUGUUAGAUUUGAAGAUAGAAAUCCAACGGUGAAAAUAGAUUGUCAAAAUAAAAGUGCAACCGGAUGAAAAGGUUUUAUAAAAAGAAAUCAACUUGCUUCUUUUCCUCCUAUCUCUCUCUCCACACUACUUGUGGACUAUUUUUUGAUUUGCCACAGAAAUGAAGCAAAAAUUUGGAAUUAUGCACAAACUUUUCACACCCAAAAUUAUGUUUGAAAAAUUCCCACAGGAAAUUGUUAAGGUUAUUAAUGAUGAUGUCAAAAUUUCUGUCCCGAAAGAUUGUCCACUGUAAGCAUAAGUUUGUGUUGAAGAAUGAUUGUUUAUAAUGAAAUAAUUAUUUCAUACGUACAAGAGUUAAUAAUAAUUCCUAUACAUCAGUUUGCACUGCUGGUAUAACAAGUCACGUACAGGUUUCUCCUAGUCGAAACCUAGUGUCCGUUUUUCUCUUUCCCUCUCUUUGGUAUUAGAGCACCUCUUUUGUUCUUGUUUUAAAUAUUUUUUAUAUGAGUAGUUACAAGACAUACUUCAUUUGUUGCAUGAUAUUUUUCCACGAUUGCUAAUUUUGACCAAAAUCUUGACAGUUAUUAUAAAAAUCCUUUUACUGUAUUAGAAAAAAACGCUGAUAGUUGGAUAGACAACAACCCUUACUUAGAAAUUUUAGAAAGUGCUUUACAAAUUGUAGAAAACGAAUUAAAUAGAAUUAGUAUUGAACAAGUAUUUUUAGACACUUUAAUAGAAGAAAGAUUAGGCAGUUUAAAGCUCCCAGUAGAUUACACAUCUCCUUUACCACCUAAAAUAGAAAGAAAAAUAAAUAUUACACAUUACGCUUUCACAAAUUUACCAGUAUUUAAUUUUAGAAGAAAUAAUUUGUAAUAUUAUAAUAUAAAUAAAAAAAUAGAUUAUUAGACAAAUACGAGAAUUUAGCAUUAAAAAUUAGGAAUAAGUUAGAAGAUCUAGAAAAUUAGUUUAUGAAUUUUCAACGAUUAGAUUAUUUAGACUUAGAAAUUAGCCAUCAUAAACAGUAAAAAUUAAAUUUGACAGAAAGAAUAAAAAUUAGUUGUAAUAUCGAACACUUAGAAAACCAAUAUAAACAUAUUACACACACUAGUAAUAGUCAACAAAAUUUUAUAGUAUAUUUAUUAAUUAAUUUAGGACAACAACUAGAAGUCAAUAUAGAAAGGCUAAAAGAGUUAGUACUAGGACUAGGCAAAUUCUUCGAGACAAGUAAUAUAAAUACAUUAAGAAGAAAUUUAGAUUUCAUUAAAGAUUUACUAACAGAUUUUAAUAGUCAAGUUAAAAGAUUCCCUAGCAAGAAAGAAAUAGUAGAUUUAAUUCAAUUAUUAGACAUAAAAACACUUAAUCCCGUAGAAUUAGAAAUUAAACAAAUAGUAGAAAGUUUAAAAUUAGAGAUAGAAAAUAUUAAAUUUACACAAUGAGACUUACAAAUUCAAUUAGAUGCAAUAAAAAUAAUAGUUAGUGAAUGAGUUUAGAAAAAAUAUUAAUAGAAUCGUUAGCAGAAUUAAAAAGAGAAAUUUCACAUUUAAAUCCAGUAGGUUAUAGCUAUAGAGAAUUUAGUCGGGAGAGUAACAAUAUUCAACAAGCACAAGCUAGCACAAUAGUCAAAUUAUUAGUCAAAAUCAAUAAUAGACUAAAAGACUUAGACAAUAGGCUGAAUAGAUUAGAAAGUAAUUUUCAAACCGUUAGAAAAAACAAAGAAUCCGUAUCUCACCUAGAACUUAGCAGCAAUUUAGAUAACAUAGACAAAGAACUAAAAGCAUUAACAAACCAUGUACAAAAAUUAAAUUUAAGAGAACCAGUCUUAACACGUAGGACAAUAGACAUUAAAGAUAUUUUAGGACUAAAAGUAAUAUUAAAAAGUAAUGGAUCUAGUAAGAAACAGUAGAGUAGACGUAAACAUGACAGAAAGAAUUAGAAGGCCGCUUUCAUUUUCUAGCGAAGGUAAAGAAAUAAUAGAAAGAACAUAAGAUAUAAUUGACGAACAUGAUCCCGAUAAAUUAUUAGAAAAAGGUUUCGAGCAAAUUAAAAGGAAAAAAAAUUAUAUAAUGAAGGUUUAAAUUCAAAAUUAAAUAAUAGUUUAUAUAUUUACAUAGAUGAAACAAAAUUAUUAGCAGUAAAUAGAGAAGAAUUAACUUUAAUUAGUCCAGUAGGAAGAGAUUAUCUUAGAAAGCAGAAUUAUACAGACAUACACAUGGGAAUAAUAAUCAUAGGCAUACUCAGUCAAGCUAGAGAGGGACUAGACACAAAAGCACAUUUAUAUUUAUAUGAUAGUAGAUUUUAUGAUCACGAGCAAUCCCAAAUAGCUAGUGCAGAAGUAGAUUUAAAAAAUAAAGUAGCAGUAGUAGGAUGCAUACCCAAUAUAGAUAUAGACAUAAAUGAAUUUGGUAAACAUAUUAAAUUAAGUGUACAAACUAAAGGAUAUAAAAUGAAUGCAGAAUAUAAAAACCUUAGAAUUAAAACAUUUUUUUUAGGAAAAUUAUAUAAUAAAUAUCAUAAGAAAUUUAGAUUUGAAAGUAAAAUAUUGUAGAUUGUUUUAAAAGUCAGUACGUAGAAAUUAUAGUACCUAAAAAAUUAACCAGUAGCGAAUUAAAUGGUUUAGAAUGGAUAUUACCUAAAUUAGAGCAAGAUAGAAUGUUAGAAGUACCAGAGACUAGUUAUACUUAUAUGAAUAGACAAAAUCAAGUUACACAAAGAUUUAGUAAUUAUAGACAGAGAAGUAAUCUAGAAUUAUAAGAAAAUGAAGAAGAGAUAGAAAUUAAUAUGGCAAUAAUAGACAAUUUAGACAUAGAUAAACAAAAAACAUUAAUUAGUAAUAGAGAUAAAAUUAUAGACUUAAUAUUUAGUGAACCUAAAAAAUAUUUAGAUGAAGAAUUAUUUGAAGAACUAUGUAAUAAUGAUGAAUUAACGGACGAAGAUAUAGACAUAGAAUUAAUAAAAAAAUUUAGAUUUUAAAAAUUUAGAAAUAGAUGAAAUUUAUUACUUAGAACAUGCAGAUGAAAUAUUAGUAGGAGAAAAAGACGAAAAACCAGAAGUAGGAAAAAGUAGCCAUAAACCGGUAUUAGAACCUAUAGUAGAACCAUCCAAUGUAGAAACUUACUUAGACAAACGAGGAAUCCCAGAAACUAAUGAAAAAUACACAGAAGCCGAAAGAGUAUUUAAAACUAAAACAAAAUUAGAAAAUUGGAAAACUAUGCCACAAGCUAGAGAUUUAUUAGUACUAGAAUUAGAAGACCAUAAACCUAGUCAAUGGAAACAAGUAUUUAACCCGUGGAAAGGUAAUUUACUUAGACAUUCUAUGGAAGCAUUAGCAAUAAUAAUAGACCCAAAUUAUAAAUUAAUAUAUUUAGAAAGUACUUUAGGAGGUAGAGAAAGACAAAUAUAUUUAGGAUGGAGAGAAUGGAUGAAGAAAUUAGAAGAAUUAGACAAUUUUUAUACAAAUAUUACAGUAAUUAGUUUGAUUGAUUUAAUGAAACAAAUAGUACUAGGAGUAGAUGAAAAAGACGAUGUAAUUAAACAGAUUAAAGAUAUUAGAAAUUUAUAACAAUUAAAAAUUUGUGACUUAAGAUAUUUUGAUGAAUAUGCUAAUUAUUUUUAUAAAUAUUGGAGUGAAAGAGGUAGACCAUUUGACGAAGACUUAUUAUUAAAAUUCGUAGACAAAUUACCAGGCAAGAUAGGAGAAAAAUUACACAACGAAUUAAUUAAUUGGUUUAAAACUAAACAAACACAAGGAAUUAAUUAUUAUGCUAUAUGAUUACCAGCAAUAGAAUACGUUAGAGGUAAAAUUAGAGAAUAUUGUGAAGAAGAAAAACAUAGACACCAGUUAAAAUUACGAUUUAGAAAAAUGUGUAUAGAUAUGAUAGAAGUACCAACAUUAGGAUGUAAUUAUCCUAAUUACUCUAGACAUAAGAAAUAGAGAAAGCAUAGGAAGAAAUAUAGUCAAAAUAAGUCACCUUAUAGACAUAAUAGUAUAAAAUUUUAUAAAAAGAAAUUCUUUAAAUAUCAUAAUAAUAAACAAAAAGUCAAGAAGGCAUUCAAAAAAGGUAAACGUAUAUACAAAAGGAAUAAAACUUGUAAAUGUUAUUUAUGUGGAAAGGAAGGACACAUUAAACAAAAUUGCCUAGAAAACAAAAAAGUUAAUCAAUUAGAAUUAGAUAAUUAUAAUAUAGAAGAAGAAAUUCUUAAUAUAGAUCAAUUAUCCAAUAGCGACAGUAGAUGUAUAGUCAGUAAUAGUGAAUCUGACACUAGUAGUAAUUCAAGCUUAGAAUUAGAUCACACAUAGAACCAGAAAUAGACAUUAAUGUUCUAGAAACUUUUACUUCAUUCUUUGGUAAAAAUUCUACAAAUUGUAAUAAAAAAUUUGAAUUAGGAUAUAGAAACACAGACACAGGAAAAUUCUGUUGUAAUAGUUGUAAAGAUAAACAACCUAUAAAAGAUGAAACAAUAGAAAUAAAUAGAGUAGACAUCGAAUUAAUAAAUAGAGAUGUAGAAUUAUUGUUUAAAAAAGAAACUGUUUAUACUAAAGCACGCAUGCGCAAAUAAAUGUAUAAUACAUGAUAGCUUGGUACCCAAAGAAAAUAGAAACAAACUUAGAAACCCUGUAAACAUUAGACAAUUUAAAUGAGAAUUAAUGCAAAUUACAUAAUGUAUAAAUAACAUACCAAUAAGAAUAAAUGGUGAAACACAUGUUUUGCCACAAACAUUUAUUUCAAACCAAAAAGUAGGAUAUACAUUUAUUUUAGGAUUAAAUUUUAUAUUAGAAAAUAAUGGUAGUAUACUAAUAACUCCAAAUGGAGUAAAUUUCUUUAAAAAGUCAACAUUCAUUCAACCUAAAUACGAAACACAUAUCUUACCAUAUGAAAAGAAAACUUUAGUAGUAGAAAAAGAAUUAGACAUAGAAUUUUUUGAUUCUUUAUUAGAAGAAGAAAAAGAUGUAGCCAGCCGUAGUGGACUAGAAUUAAACAAUGAUGAAGUAGAAACCUUAGACGAUGAGGAAAUAGACAACUGUUUAGAAGACAUAUUAAAUGUAGAAAAAGAAGUAGAGUGUUUAAAAUGUCAAAAAUGGCCGGAAGAAAUUAGAAAAAAAGGUAGAAGAAUUAGAAAAGUUAGAAAUAAUAGGAAACAACCCAAUUAGAAAAGAUAAUAAAGAAAUAUAUAAAUUAGAAAUCAUUAAUCCAGAUAUAACAAUAAAAUCACAAGAUUUAGCUUAUAGUUUGGAAGAUAGAAAAGAGUUUAAAAUGCAUAUAGAUGAAUUAUUAGAAUUAAAAGUUAUUAGAAGUAGUACCAAUAGACAUAGGAGCCCUGCAUUUAUUGUAAAUAACCAUAGUGAACAAAAACGAGGAAAAAGUAGAAUGGUAAUAAACUAUAAAAGAUUAAAUGAUAAUACUUCAGACAAUAGUUAUAAAAUACCUAAUAAAGAUGAGCUAGUAAAUUGUAUACAGAAUGCUAAAUAUUUUUCUAAAUUUGAUUGUAAAAGUGGAUUUUGACAAAUAAGAGUCCACGAAGAAUUUGUUCAAUUGACAACUUUUAAUUGUUCAGAAGGACAUUUUGAGUGGUUAGUUAUACCGUUUGGACUUAAAAACGCUCCACAAGUAUUUCAAGUUAGAAUGGAUAGAAUAUUAAAACCUUAUUCAAAAUUUUGUAUAGUUUACAUAGAUGAUAUUUUAGUGUUUAACCAGAAUAAAUUUAUGCAUAUUACCCAUUUAAAUAAAAUUUUAGAUUGCUUUAAAAAUAAUAAUAUAGUUUUCUAAAAAGAAAAUAGAAUUAUUAAAACAAAAAAUAGAUUUUUUAGGAUUAACGAUAGACAGAGGAACAAUAGAAUUACAACCACACAUAGUCAGCAAAAUAUUAGAAUUUCCAGACAAAAUAGAAGAUACAAAAGAAUUACAAAAAAUUUUAGGACUAUUAAAUUAUAGUAGAAAAUUUAUACCAAAUCUCAUUACAUUAAUAAGACCCUUAUAUAAUAAAUUCAAUGAAAAUGGACAAAAAUAAUUUAAUAGUGAAGAUAUAAAAUUAAUUCAAAAACUUAAAGAAAUAGUUAAAAAUCUCAAACCCUUAGCAUUACCAAUAGACAGUUAUUAUAAAAUCAUACAGACAGAUGCCAGUAGUUUAGGAUGGGCAGGAAUAUUAAUACAAAAACCUAAUAAAGAUAGCUCUAAAGAUAAGGAAGAAAUAGCGAUGUAUACUAGCGGAAAAUUUACAGAAACAGAAGGUAGAAAAUCUAGCACAAAAUUAGAAAUUUUAUGAAUAAUAAAUUCUUUAAAUUCAUUUCAUUUGUAUAUACAAAAUGAUAAAUUUACAAUUAGAACUUAUUGCAAUAAUAUUAUAGAAUUCUAUAAAAAAGUACAAAAGAAAAACUUUGAAAAGAAAAAUUCUUUUAUUAGUAAGAGAUGGAUAUAUUUUUUAGAAGUAAUAACAGGUAAAUGAUACAAAGCAAAAUUUGAACAUAUAGUAGGUAAAGAUAAUACAUUAGCAAACAUUCUUUUACGACUAAUAAAUCAAUGAUUAUUUUGCAGGAAUGGAGCGAUAUAUGAAUUUCGGUCCAAUUAAGCUUAGACAAUUCCCAUCAGGAACAAAUUUAAGUUUUAAAAGUAAAUUUCAGUUAUUAGAUAGUCAACAAUGCAUAUUAGACAAUUUGUGGUGUGCUAAUAACCCACAAGAUAAACUAAAGUAGCCAAUGCACUCAUGCAUUAUUUUAGACAAAUUAAUGAACGCGUAAACAGUAAUUAUUUUGUAUUUUUCGUAUUAGUUAGCGGUAGACAACUAAGAAUUUAUAGUAAGUGGAGAGAGGUAGUUGAUUUGAAGAUCAAUUAUUCUGAUCCAUAUGCUAAAGGUUUUUACACAUUUCAUGAAGCCAUAGAAUAUGCUAGAUGUGAAAUAGGACCGAAUUAUCAUGUUAGUCAGUUGAUAAAUCCUUUAAACAAUGCAUCAGCAACUUCAUCUAGACAGUCAAAUAAUCCCUUAGACAGUGCAUCAAUAGCCUCAUCAUCAUCAUCAUCCAUACAAUUUUGUAAUCAUUGUGAAGUCAUGGCACGAACAAUUAAAAAGCUUAAUGAGACUAGAUAUCAUUGAGACAGUAUAUUAGAAGCAUGUAGACAAAAAAUACUUGCAUUAGAAAAUGGUAAAGAAGAAUUAAUUAGACAAAACAUUAUAUUACAAAAAAAAUAUCAAAUUAUGUUCGUAGACCAUCAAAAAACCCAAAGCACCCAUAAAACCCAAAAAAUGCUUACACCAAAACAGCCAUUAAAUAAAUUAUUCGACCAUACCCCAGCCGGACAAUUAAACAAAAUACAACAACUUUCAUUUUUCCUUGGUGAUGCAGUAGACACAAAUAAAAGAAAAAAUUAUAGAAAACCUGUGUACAUAUUUUAUUUCUUUUGCCAAUCAAUUGUUUGAUAGCCAGUUAAAUUUCUUACUUGAAUUUGGACCCAGCUGGUCAGAAUUAAACAACAUUACUGCACUUAGACAUAAUUUUCCUAUAAUUUCUUUUGAUUACUCCCUAGCCAAAACCAUAGACAAUGAAGACAUCUUGUACAAAGCCCUUAGCUUUGAAAUGAUACAAACCAUUUAUAUUUUUAGCCAAGAUAGGUUUAAAUUCUUUCCACCAACCUUAAAUAGAGCCUUAGCCACUAUAAGCGAAGCACCAUUAGUAAUCAAUUUUAAUUCUACACCACCUAGACCUCAAAUAAUUAAUAAAACCAAAACCGGUGUCAUAUUACCAGCCUACCAUGUCAUUUUUAUUUGCGAAGGAGCCAAGAAGUACAGACGAAGAUUUUAUCAAGACAUGCCCAAUUUCUCUGCAAAUGAUUUAUAUCGAAGAACUCAUGAAAUGACAGCCUUCUAUGAAUGGUUACAUACUCAUGACAGGAUCAUUGCUCAAGCAGAACACUACACAAUCAUCGCCCAAAAGCAUGUUGUCCAUGAGGAGUUACUCAUUCCUUCACUACAAAUCAAAGUUGAUAAUCUACAGAAACGUGAAGAAUACUUGGAGACGCUAGAUGAAAUAAAUGACAUGUCAUCAUCGGGACAUGAAUUUGAAGCUAUGAGUCAUCAAACUUUGGAUGAUGAUAUAGUUGAAGCCGUUGAUGAAAUGAUGGAGCGAUAGGAGACACCAUUAAAAACAAAGUAGUCAGCAGUAGCCAAAGUCAGUGUAAAGUUAAAAUAGCCAGAGUCACGUGAUUUUACAGAUAACCCUUACUCACUACCCGAUAAAGGAAAAACUGUAAAAACACCUUUUUCAUUUUUUCUUUUCUUACCGACAGUGAGUCAUCACUAAAAAUAGUAGCCAGUUACUAUUUGUAGACAGUGAGUCACUAUAAAAGUACUAGUUAGUCAAUUUGUACUUUUUAAAUUAAUCAUUGGCUUUUCGCCACAUGUAAAGAGUCAUUUUCUGCUUUUGUCUUUUGUAAUCAAUAUCAAUAAUAGUCCAAAAGUCUAGAGUUGUAUAUAAAAACUUUCAAGUCUAUGUAAAGGUAGAGUCGGAAAAAAGAGUCGUGAAUACGCUAACAAGCAAGCAUUCAACUUGUACUCAAAAUCAAUAUCAAUAAAAUUUUCUUUUUUAAACACUUUGCAAUUUUUUUAGACAACAACUAGCAAGCAAGCAAGUAAGUAGUUUUACUCUUUACUUUUAUUUAGCUUUCGAGUUCAAAAGUCUAGCCUAGUUAAGAAAAGUAGAAAUUAUAUUUAAAGCAUUAACAAAAGACUGUCCUUGUUAUCAUUCAGGAGCAAAGAAUUUAUGGAGGAAAAGUUUUUAAUGAAAAUUAAGGUUUUUAUUUUUGAAAAAAAUAAUAAGAACUUAGUAAAAGUUUCUGCUGAUUUUCUAAAAGUUUCUUUUUAAACACUGUCUCCGUUGGCCCGUUUAGCCGAUAAUGUGUUGAGAAGGCGUUUUUGGGCGUUAGUCAGGAGUUGAAAGUGUGUUUGAUAUGCAUGUUUUCAGAAGCAGUUAAAUAAACUUUGAAAUGCCAGUUUUUGGCAAAGCAGCUUUCGUAAUUUUCAUAAAGCUUUUUUGAGAUUACUCUGUAUAUAGGCGGGAAACCAAAGAGACGGAAAGAGAAAAACGGGCGCUAGGUUCCGACUAGGAGAAAACUGUACGUGGCUUGUUAUAUCAGCAGUGCAAACAUAUCUAAUUCCCAUUCGAGUUAACCAUCAGAAUAUAUAUCGCUGGUUUCCCAGUGGGUGGAUGGGUCAUGAGUGUGUCGGUUAGGAGCGGAACAAGCCAAUCUUAACUGGAGGGGCUAAAUAAUUUUUUCAAACUUAUAAAAUAAGUAUUUUAUUAAUAUAUAUUUACUUCAAUAAAAAAUAUUAAAUAUUGAUUUUUUUUUUAAAGGGCCCAUGUAAUCCCUUAAUAGAUCCGCCCCUGGUGUUGGUGGUUGGACGGUACAGAAUAGACCCAAGGAGAAUGCAGGGUUGACUUCUGUCCCUUGAAUAAAUUUUUUGAGUCGAGCUCUUGUUUUAUCAUUGAAAUACUCUGCAAGUGAAAAAAAUCCUGCAGUCUCCUUUCCAAAUCAUUCCGUAAUGCACUCUUCAUUGUCGGCGAUGAGUGUUAGCGGGAACUGGUGUUCUGUUCUUUUCUUUCUUAUUUUCUCUACGCCAUUUUCUUGCUUGGUUGAUGCCCAAAGUUUUGAUUAUCCGACAGCGAACCUCUCUACUUCAUGGACCAACGGUCUGUCAGCUUCUCACUCGGUAGCUUUUACUGACGGAUCAAAGGUAAGAGCCAUCCUUCUUAGGGGAACCUUUGGCCCCAGAUAUGCAUGUGGCUUCUUCUGCAAUGGCACCUGUGACUCUUAUCUAUUUGCUGUUUUCAUAGUUCAGACCAAUAGUGUCUCCAAUAUCGUUUCUCCAGCUUUCGGAUUUCCACAUGUAGUCUGGUCUGCUAAUCGUAACAAUCCUGUUCGAAUAAACGCAACCUUAGAACUCACUUCAGAUGGGAACUUGGUCUUGCAAGAUGCUGACGGAGCUAUUGCUUGGUCGACGAAUACCAGUGGUAAAUCUGUUGUGGGCUUAAACUUGACAGACAUGGGCAACCUCGUACUCUUUGACAAGAAUAAAGCAGCGGUUUGGCAAUCUUUCGAUCAUCCAACGGACUCGCUGGUUCCUGGCCAAAAAUUGUUGGAAGGGAAGAAACUUACAGCUAGUGUUUCAACCACGAAUUGGACGGAUGGAGGUUUGCUUUCACUUUCUGUCACUAACGAAGGAUUAUUUGCUUUCAUAGAGUCUAAUAAUACUUCAGUACCGUAUUAUAAAUUACUCAGAGCCUCAAAAACAAGUAAGGAACCAAGCCAUGCUAGAUAUCUGAAUAGAAGCUUAGCUUUAUUCAUCAAUACCUCCGAACCAAGGGAACCAGAUGGGGAAGUUUCUCUUCAUCCAGCAUUAUUAUUCCCGGGACAGUACAUGAGAUUGUGGCCUGAUGGACAUUUAAGAGUUUACGAGUGGCAACAGUAUGAUGGGUGGACAGUAGUGGGAGAUCUAUUGACAGGUAUUUUUGGGGAAUGCGGUUAUCCUCUGGUUUGCGGCAAGUAUAGCAUCUGCUCUCGGGGGCAAUGCAGUUGUCCUGCAACCUAUUUCAAGCCAUUAAAUGAAAGACAGCUUGCCCUUGGGUGCUCCCAGAUUACUCCCUUAUCGUGUGAAGCUUCGCAAGAUCAUAGUUUUGUUGAACUCAAUGAUGUCACUUACUUCGCGUUUAGCUCAUUUAGCUCAGACCUUACGAAUACAGAUCCGGAGACAUGCAAACAAGCCUGUUUAAAUAAUUGCUCUUGCAAAGCUGCUCUUUUUCAGCGUGGUUUGAACUCUUCUGCUGGAGAUUGCUACUUACCAUCUGAAAUCUUUUCAAUGAUGAAUAAUGAGAAGGAAAGGACUCAUUAUAACUCAACUGCUUACAUUAAGGUUCAAAACUUGCCAGUGCCGGGUGCAAGUCCUGAAGGAAAGGAGACGAGCCACAGAAAAAGAAUAAUGGGGUUCAUCCUUGGAUCUUUCUUUGGUUUAUUAGUUCUAAUUGGUAUCUUGAUCUUUUUCUUUCGGAAGAAAAAGGGGGCUGAUGAAAUUGAGGAAGAUUGUUUAGAUCAAGUGCCAGGACUACCCAAAAGAUUCUCAUUUGAAGAGUUGAAAGUCAUGACAGACAAUUUCAGAAAGAUACUGGGUAAGGGGGGUUUUGGCUCAGUCUUUGAGGGGACACAAACUGAUGGCACAAAAGUUGCAGUGAAACGUCUCGAAGGAAUUGGUGAAAUCAAUAAAUCUUUCUUAGCAGAGGUGAAGACAAUUGGAAGCAUUCACCAUCUGAACUUGUUGAGGUUGAUAGGGUUUUGUACUGAGAAAUCUCAUAACCUUCUUGUUUAUGAAUACAUGCCGAAUGGAUCUCUAGAUAGGUGGCUUUUCCAGAGAUCAGAUGAGUUUAUGCUUGACUGGCAGCAAAGAAAGAAGAUCAUCCUUGAUAUUGCCAAGGGACUAACCUAUCUCCAUGAAGAUUGCAGGCAGAAGAUACUCCACUUGGAUAUCAAGCCCCAAAAUAUUCUGCUAGAUGACAACUUUAAUGCCAAAGUUGCUGAUUUUGGUUUGUCGAAAUUGAUUGACCGGGACCAGAGCCAAGUUGUGACAACCAUGAGAGGAACUCCAGGCUAUUUGGCUCCUGAAUGGCUUAGCUCAGUAAUUACAGAAAAAGUAGAUAUCUAUAGCUUUGGAGUUGUGAUGUUGGAGAUAUUGUGUGGCCGGAAAGUUUUUGACCGCUCUCAGCCUGAGGAGGAAGACAUGUAUUUGCUAAGCAUAUUCAAUAAGAAGGCAGAGGAGGACAAAUUGUCUGAUCUGGUAGAUAAACACAGUAACGAUAUGCAAUCAAAUGAAGAAGAAGUAGUGAAUAUGAUGAAGGUAUCUGCAUGGUGUCUGGAAAGUGAUUUUGUAAAGAGACCUUCCAUGUCAAUGGUAGUUAAGGUUUUGGAGGAUGUUACAGAGUUUGGGCAUAACCUCCAUUAUAACUUGGUUCAUCUACCAACUACAGCAGCAUUAACAAACGUUGAUCGUAGAGAAGAAAAUGAUAAACCCAUUACUCAAUUGUUGCCUUCAGUUUUGUCAGGGCCAAGAUGACAGACGGCUAGCAGGUAUACAUACCACUUUUCCAUUCUUGAUUAGCAUUAAUAAUGUUUACCAACAACUUUUGUUUUUGGACUUGAAAAAGAAAUCCAAUUGGGCUUUACCAGCAACUUUCAGCAUCUUUCUUGAAAAAAAUAAAAAACAACUGGCCCCAAAUUUUUGUAGGGUUAUUCGUGGAUACAAACCGGAAUAAAAGAAACUUCAAAUCUUUGAUAAGAAUGUAAGUUUCAUUAUCGAUUUAUUAUGCAAAGUUUAAAUUCGUGGACCAAUAACUGCAGGAACCUUCUAACGUACGUAUGUGCUAAUUCAGAAAUUCGUGGCAAGUCUCAGUAGUAAUUGAUCUCAAAUUUGCAGUAUCUGGCGAAUCUUAUCAUUGACUGAGCUUUGGCCCUGAUCUUUUCUGCUUCUCAAGCAGAUCAGUGGCAGAAACAAGAAGAGGGUGCCUACAACAUUAAACUUUUGCCAAGCAAAAUUGAGCGAAGAAGUCCAAUCUUAUGGGAAGUUAACUCAAGCUUUUACUAGUGGAUCUUCUGUAAGAUAAAUACUUCCGAAAAAUGGAUGUUCUACAGUGAUUUUGUCAGUCUAUAUUUGUUGUUUAGACGCUGAGAAUGUCUGUCUUUAGACAUUGCGAAUGUAAGUGGGGGAGGCGAAGCAAGCUGCAUUACAUUGAACGCUUUAUUUUGAUUUGUUCAAUGCUUCAAUAUAUAUAUAUGAUAGGUCUAAAAUGUUGCUUAAUAAAGAGCAUUAAAUAGUAUCUUUAUUAUAAUAUUUACCUACUGGUUACUUGUUAGUGAAACAAGGAGUUGGGGAAAUUUUGUUUUUUGGAAACAAAGAGAUCCCACUAUAAUGAAGAGUAUGCCAAAACUUAAGCUCUUGGGUCGAGUGGUAACAGAGCAAUUUUAGUCUCACUUUUUAUGACCUCUCUUGUUGUGUUAGGAGGGUAUGGCUAAUUUUUGGAUGAAUAUAAUUAUCAUGAGGACAUAUUGCAGAGGUUGAAUAUAAUCGUCAUGAAGACAUAUUGCACCUAAGAUUAAGAAUAUAAUGUAGAAAGUUUUUGCAAAGACUGUCCAUAGCUUAUAUACUGCACCCUGAGUCCUUAAAUAAUCAAAUCUCUAGUUAAACGCUCGUAAAAGUUUUGACUUCUAUGUGGCAAGGCUUCAAGUGUAUACUAUCUCACCCUUUUCUUUGAUGUGGGAUCUCUCUUUGAUUAAACUUAUUGCCAUUUUCAAGGUUUUAUAAUUUCUCCAAUAUAAAACUUUUGUAUUUUGUUGUGAUCAUAUAUCACUUCAUAUUCCAGUUGCGAAGGAGACAGAGUUUGAGUUUUGGGCAUUUCUUUUGUUAUGCUUGCUGCUGUCAUGUCUGGAUUUCGUUGGUGCAUGACUCAAAUUCUUCUACAGGUAUGGUUUAGUUGUAUUCCUGAUAUACAUGGUUUAUGGAAUUUGUGUAACUUAAACCCAAUUUUUUUCCAACCUGACUUUAUUUUUUUGUUUGGAUUUCAAUACGAUGGUCCGUGGCAAAAUAAAAAUGGAUGUAAAAAAAGAAACUUACGGUAGGUACUUAUUCUUUUUCUUUUAUUUCAUUUGAAUUUUAGCCAAUCUCAACUGCUACUAGAUUUUAUCUAUUGCCAUAAGUAUCUGCAAGCAUGCUUUGCACAUAUUAGAUUUUCAUGUACCGCUGUAAGCAUCUGCAAGUGUGUGUAACAUGUAUGUUCCUCAGAAUUUACUUUAGAUAAUGAUGAUACAUAGAAAUACUGUUUAUUGGACCUUUUCUUAUGAGCUUGAGCUUUUGGAAUUAAUAGUCUUUUAAUAUGGUGUCAUUCUGCUUUUUUCUAAGCUAGCCAGCACUUAUUGAUGAACAAAUUUUGCUCUUGGUAAAAAGCUUGAGUCUCUGGUGAACAAACUUAUACAUUACAUUUCUUUCCUAGAUGCUUUGCCUCAGUUUUUAUACCAUUAUUUCUAAUCAAUCACUAGGAAGUGUUUUCUUUAUUUUUUGUUUUUAGGUCUUAAAAAUCCACUUACCUUGAUGAGCUAUGUGGCACCAAUUAUGGCGCUGGUGACUGCUCUUCUUUCUCUAUUGCUGGAUCCAUGGCAUGAAUUCAAAAGGAAUAAUUAUUUCAAUAACUCAUGGCAUGUCACCCGGAGUUUGUUGCUGAUGCUUUCCGGCGGAGCUUUGGCCUUUUUCAUGGUAAGAAUUGAUGUCGAACAAAAGGAUUGGGGGGAAGAUACAUUUACAUGCUUUUCGUGUUGCAUAUUGAGUACGCUUGGUCUGAGUUUCAUGGUCUCCAAAAGAAAUUAAUACAUUUACAUGCUUUUCAUGUUGCAUAUUGAGUACACUUGAUCUGAGUUUCAUGGUCCCCAAAAGAAUUAACUUGUUUCCCUUGUUACAGGUUUCGACGGAAUUUGUACUUGUCUCGGUAACAAGUGCUGUCACUGUUCAAAUUGCAGCUGUUGUCAAGGAGGCUGUUAACAUAUUGGUAAAAUUUUUCUAGGGUAGUUCGUCUUUCUAGAUUAUUUUGGUAAAAUGUUGGCCAUUGUAUGUGCUUUAUUGUGAAAUCCUUUAGUUACAAUACCGUUCUGUUUGAAACAUUAAAUAUUCAAACUCUCCUAUUAGAUAAGAUAAAUACCCUGUUUGUCAUGAGCUGCAAUUAUUCAUGAUUAUGGCUAUUGUCUUUAAAUAUUUUUUACGGUCUGAGCCAUCUUUUGUAACUUUUGAUUGUGAUCUAUAAUUACAUUUAGAUUUUUGUUUGAGGAUGUUUAAUGCAUCUAUAGAUGUAAGAAUCACGCUUUGAUUGUUUUACUAGUUUUAUUGUCACAGUGUAGGCUGUGUAGCUCUCUCCUGCAUAGACGGACACCCGGCUUUGAUUGUUUUACUAGUUUUAUUGUCGCAAUGUAGCUGUCUCCUGCAUAGACAGACACUGUAUAGAAUUAAACCCUAGUCUUAUGUUUUCUUAUUGUGUUUUUUCAUUUGGUUAAUUAUUUUAUUAAUAAUUACAAAUAUAAAAAACAUGAAUGGCUACACAGUAUAAGGACUCUCAAAGGAUUCUACUUCAAUAUGUAAAUGUACAGGUUGCAGUGUUUUACUUCCAUGAUGAGUUCACUUGGCUGAAGGGGUUUGGUCUCUUCACAAUCCUGGUCGGUGUCAGUUUAUUCAAUUGGUACAAGUAAGUCAUUAGUUAUUGUAGUUUUGAACUAUUAUUGUAUGUUUCUUCUCUUUUUCUUUUUUCCUUUUUUUUCUGUGUUAACUGAUUUUGUUGUUGUCUUUUUUUUUUCAACUAUUAUUUGGCUGUUAGAUUAUUGCUUAGUGUGUAGUGGCCAAAUGUGGAUUGUGUGAUGCAGAAUACAUAAGUAUCCAGUUCAUUGCUAAUAAUCUUAAAACUUCCUCUCAUCAAAGAGUCCAAUUAAAUGGGACAAAAUGUAAUUGUAGAACUUUUGGACUGGACAAAUUUCCCAUGACUAGCCUUUGCUUUUGGCUGUUUGCAUGAGAAGGAUGUUCCUUUAACUUCCAUGUUUUCCAUGUUAAAUACCCUUCUAUAACAUUAAACACUAAAGCUUGGUUGAUGUCCACCAGAUGUUAUAUGUCAGAUUUGCGAACAUUCUGGUGGUGAGCUUUAAUCUUUUCUGUGAACGGUUAGCCUGCUGCACAAAAUUGGAUCAUUAUACAAAGGUUCCACAUUAUGUGCCCUAGUCAUUGAAGUUUGAUAAAAUUUAAGAAUAUGAUAAUGACAUUUCUCGAAAUCCAAGAAAGCUUCCCAAUGGUCAUUAUGUGUCAUUAUAAAUGGGAUCAACCAACUUCUAAUUGCCUUGUCCUGCUGCUAUCAGUUAGCAAUGAGAAUUGAUAUUUUACCGGCUCAUCCAGCUAAAUUUUGUCAAGUCCUUUGCUCCUCACUUACCAAAUUUGACAUGUAUUGAUUGCAUUUGUUUGUGGAUCUCUUGAAUAAUAUUUUGGUUGUUGAUGUUUCUUCCUGACAUAUUAAAAAUAUUGGAAUUUUAGAGUCUCUCUAGUCUCUGAGAUUAUGGAUCAGAAAAGCAUCUGUAUUCAACAUUAGUUGUGGAACAAUUUACGGGCAGACUGAUAAAGCUCAACUUUAAGUUACCUAAUCUUAACGCCUGAUUUCUGCUGUGUGCUUCUUGUCAACUUUUUCCUAAUCUGGGUUCUGUUAUUGAUUGUUACUCUUUUUUAUCCUUUUUCAGAUACCAAAAGCUUCAGGCAGGUCAUGCAAAUGAAGAUAGCAUGCUGGGAUCACGUGAAACAAAUGCUUCUGCAAAAUAUUUUAUUCUAGAGGAGAUUGAUGAUCUAGAUGAGGGCACUUGAAGUUUCUAGUAAUCACAUGAUUUGAAUUUUGAUAAUCUUGUGUAAGCCUCUUGCUGAACCUUCUCCCCUAAAAACAUGGACAUCUAUGCAGUUUGGGGUGGAACCUUAGGUUGAUGCAACGGUUUGAUUUGGUAUUUAUCAGUGGUCCAAGUUUGUGUAAUGAUCCAUUAAUUUACAUUUUGUUUGGGGAAAAAAUAAGAAAGAUAGCAGAACGCCACGUGUCGACGAAUGAAAUAACUUCAAUGCAAUCUGAGGUACCCGACAUGAUUAGAGGUACCACGCAAGAUUAGUAGUACCUGCCAUGAUUUAAGGUACCCGGCAUGAUUAGAGGUACCCGGCACGGUCAGAGGUACCUCACAUAACUCCAGAGUAACUCGAGGUACCCGGCAUAGACUGGGGUACCCCGUAUAAUUUGAGGUACUCGGAAUAACUCUAACAUAAUUCAAGGUACUCGGAAUAACUCCAACAUAAUUCAAGGUACUCGGAAUAACUCGAGGUACCCAGCAUGAUUAGAGGUACCCGGCGUGAUUAGAGGUACCCGGCGUGAUUAGAGGUAUCCCGCACAAUUAAAGGUACCUGGCUUAAUUACAGGUACCCGGCUUGAUUAGAGGUACCCCGCAUGAUUAGAGGUAUCCGGCGUGAUUAGAGGUAUUCGCGUGAUUAGAGGUAUCCGACCUGAAUAGAGGUACCCCGCAUGAUUAGAGGUACCUGGUGUAAUUAAAGGUACCCGGCUUGAUUAGAGGUACUCAGCACAAUCUGAGGUACCCCACACAAUCCGAAGUACCCGACAUGAUUUAAGGUACCCCGAAUAAAUAGAGGUACCCGACAUGAUACGAGAUACCAUACACAAUCCGAGGUGCCCGGCGUGAUUUGAGGUACCCUGCAUAAUUAGAGGUACCCCGCACAAUUAGGGGUACCCCGCACAAUUAGGGGUACCCCACGUAACUCGAGGUACCCGGUAGAUCAGAUGCAAGAGAACCUUCCGAAAAUAUCCGCCGUGAGAAACGUCUCAAUCUCUUAAUAGAUAUUAUUUGAUUUUGUCAGAAUUAGGAAUCAAGAACGUCGUACGAAAAGAGGGGGACAGCCGCAUGCUACCUCUGCCAAAAGUGAAGGACACUGUCCCAAGGACAGUGGUCCUCAGCUGCCUCCCGACAGCUACUGCAAAGGUACCCUAGACCACUCUCCAGCGCGCGCCACGUUUCCAAAGGAUGAGAUACGCCACGAACAUGCACAUAACGGCUCAAAAAUCAUAAAAAGGCAAAGGGACGUUAGUUAAAAAGGGUACGCCACGUGGCAGCUGAGGUACUCCAUAUAUAAAGGUGUCUAGGUUUUAUUUUCCAAGAUGUUCUCACUCACCAUUAACACUCACACUCCAAAAAAUAGGUUUUCUUCAACCUUAAACCAUAAUUUACAGAGGGCUAGCCAGUUCUCUUGACCAUAAAAGCUUGAGUUUGCUAACUUGAGCGUCAGAGUAUGAAUGCUGGGGUACCCCGGCUUCACCUCUAACCUCUAUUUCAUUAUUUUACAGGCGUGGAGCCCACUUUGAAGACCACCUCUCUUGGUUUUGAGCUUUCUCCAUUGUUAUCACUUCAUCUCCCCUUCUCACCUCCCCCAAAUUUCAGGUAUGCCGCACUGCGCACAAUAAACCAGUGAGGUACCCCAUCUCCCCCAAAAAUACAAAUUCAUUGUUCAAGAUAGAUUUUGGCUUUUCCUACCCCAAAAAUUGUUGAAAAUAAUUGGCGCCGUUUGUGGGGAGUCGCACAAAAAGCCUCAUCCGCGGUUACCAAACUAGUUGUUUUGUGUACUCCAAUACAUGGCACCCGACGUACCUCCCGAAGGUUUAAUGGGGGAUCCUACAAGGAUGAGAGAUGACAGCAGCAGUGAAGGUAGUGAUCUCGCAAGAAGGGUAGCCCGCAUAAGUAAGAGCAAGGGUAUCAAGCAAUCGACGGGUGUUCGCCAAGAUGAGGAACAUAUUUCUCACAAGCGUUUCGAGGAUCUUGCCGACGCAAUACUUAGGGCAGUUGGAUCUCGGGCACCCGAAAGUUCACUUCCACCAGUGACGCUAGAAGCUCCACAACCUCAAACGGACGACCAAGCUAUAGUCAGAAAAGAGGUACCCGAGGCCAACAAGCUAAAGCAUAGGUCAUCGGGUACCCGUUCUAAGUUUCAAACCGUGGGCUCCCGAGACGAGCAUUCCACCGUCUCUUGCAAUUCCCGCAGCAGCCAGGGUACGAGGCGUGCAAAACGUGCCCACGAGGAUCUCCGUGAAAAGUUAAACGCCGAAAGGGCUUUUCAAAUGGCGGCGACAUCAUCGGGUACUCCGAGGGUACCCCACGAACUUAUGGAAAAAAUGGAGAACCUGGAAGCCCAAGUGAAGCUCCUCUCCGAGAAGCAAAACAUCAUAGCUGCUCCAACGCCAAUGACCUACCAAUCGCCAUUCACUAUAGAGAUUCGGACGGCAGCUCUCCCCGAGGCGUUCGCCAUGUCUCAGAUACUACCACUGAUCUCUCGGAGCAUUUGAAAACCAACACACACUGACCCAUUUCGAGAAAAAUUUACGGUUGAGCAAGUUAUGACGUUCCUUUCAAAAGAAGCGUCCACUUUCAUAUGGGGAAGUCUGUUCCCGGGCGUUGCAGCAAGUGGAGAUGGAUGAGAAAUGUCAUUUGAAGCGCCAAGAAGAUAAGGUCGAGGUCAUAAAGAAUAAGGAGAAGCCAAAGAGGACGGAAGCACCAAUACCAAGGGUACCCCAAAUGCGGAGUCCUCCACGGGUUGCCCCGCGGGGACGAGUGUUUAACACUCAGGGUAUCUCACGGGUACCCCAACCUCCAAGAUCGCCACCACCAGAGCAGAAAGAGCCACCACCAAGGCCUCAGUGGUAGGGUACCCCAUAACUAGUUACUCUAGAGUUAUGCGGGGGUACCCCACGGGGACCAGAUUAAGCCCAAAUGUGAAUUGGAGGCACAUUUGGAUCCUCGAAUACCCAAAGAUGAAAAACAGGGUACCCCCGUUGAAGACUCGGUUUUAGUCUCGAUAUGAGCCACCGAUCCAACAAAGAAAAGUCAUACUACUAGUAAAAAUAUUGUUUAUUAUGAUGCAAGAGGGUAUCCAGAGAUCACCUUACUCCAGGGUACCCGAGGUACCUGACAUAUCCCCUAUUAUGAUAAUCUACUUAACAUCAGAGCCGCCUUUAUCAUUAUUUGUUCGCCAUAUUUGAUUAUGAGCGAAUGGUCGAUCAUGAGGCUUCAAUCAUUUCGCAUAAGGGUAGGCAAGCAGCCACCUUCAUCUUUAUUUAUGUUGUCUAUUUUAUUCCAUGCGAAUGGUGGAUCAUGAGGUUUCGACCAUCUUGCAUAAGGGUAGGCGAGCAAUCACCUUUAUCUCAAUCUAUAUUGUCUAUUUGAUUCCAUGCGAAUGGUGGAUCAUGAGGUUUUCGACCAUCUCGCAUAAGGGUAGGCGAGCAGCUACCUUCAUCUCAAUCUAUGUUGUCUAUUUGAUUCCAGCGAAUGGUGGAUCAUGAGGUUUUUGACCAUAUCGUAUAAGGGUAGGCGAGCAGCCACUUUUAUCUCAAUCUAUGUUGUCUAUUUGAUUCCACGCGAAUGGCGGAUCAUGAGAUUUUCGACCAUCUUGCAUAAGGGCAGGCGAGCAGCCCACCUUUAUUACUAUUUGUCUUGCAUAUUUGAUGUAGAGUGAAUGGUGGAUCAUGAGGUUUUCCAUCAUCUCUCAAAAGGAAUCGCCACAAGUUUUGUGAAGAUUUGCGGCAAGCAUUUCUAUAAAAAUCGUCAUACACUAAUUAAGGGUACCUCCGAGGUACCCCACGCCAGAAAGUCAUUCCUCAAAUACACUAAGAGAGCUUGAGAUAAACAACAAGCAUAUCUGGAGGAAUCACCAUAUGUUUGAUGAAAUUGAGUUGUUCCGCCAUGAAUUAACCGCAACAAGCAUGUCUAAGUAAACCGCGAUACACUGAUGAAACAAGAUUAAUGGUACCCAUAGUACUCAGGGUACCCUAUGACAGAAAACUAUUCCUCGUGUACUAAGAUAAGCAGCAAGCAUAUUUGAAGGAAUUGUCAUAUGUUUGAUAAAAUUGGGUUAUCCCUCCAUGAAGUAACAGAUAGCUCAGGGGAUAUCCAAGCUUAAGGGUACCUGAGGUACCCCAUACGCCUUGUCGGUAAUGCCGAACAAGGUUACAUAGUAGGAUGGUUAUCUUCACCUUCAUCAUUAAGGAUAAGGGGAUCAACAAAAAUGCUAGAAAUAGCAGAAACACAAGCGUCGAUAUCAGGGGUACCUUAUGGCGACUUCAUUUGAGGUACCCCAGUUGAUCUCCAUGGGCUUUCAGACCAAGAUGUGUAGGGAGCCUUGCUAUUCUCAAUUGCCCUCAAGAUAGUCAGUUUAUCUACCUAGUUCUCUACUCUUGGCACCACCAGCCCCAUAUCAGCACUCCAUUCCUCGGUCAUGAUGCGCUCAAAAGCAUUGUCAACUAUGUUCUUCUGUCGAGGUACCAAAUCUUCAAGCUUAACUUAAAGCUCCUCAGGGUCUUCCACCUUAUGGGCCUUCUCCUCUGAAACUUCAUCAAAGUGUUUCCUUAAAGUCUUGUUUACUCUAGAGAUAUUCCCUUCGUGAGGGUACCCCUAGAGGCGUCCUCUAUUCAGCUGUCCAUCGAGCUAAACUUUAUAUCGCCACGUGUCGCUCCUACAUUUUAUGUAAGUUUCUUUUGCCUCCAAUACUUCUCGCCAAAAGAAACUAGGGGGAUGUUGUUUGGGGGAAAAAUAAGAAAGAUAGCAAAACGCCACGUGUCGACGAAUGAAAUAACUUCAGUGUAAUCCGAGGUACCCGACAUGAUUAGAGGUACCCCGCAAGAUUAGAGGUACCUGCCAUGAUUUGAGGUAUGCGGCAUGAUUAGAGGUACCCGGCACGGUCAGAGGUACCUCACAUAACUCCAGAGUAACUCGAGGUACCCGGCAUAGACUGGGGUACCCCGUAUAAUUCGAGGUACCCGGAAUAACUCCAACAUAAUUCAAGGUACUCGGAAUAACUCGAGGUACCCAGCAUGAUUAGAGGUACCCGGCGUGAUUAGAGGUACCCUGCAUGAUUAGAGGUACCCGGCUUGAUUAGAGGUACCCCGCGCAAUUAAAGGUACCCGGCUUGAUUAGAGGUACCCCGCAUGAUUAGAGGUAUCCGGCGUGAUUAGAGGUACCCGACCUAAUUAGAGGUACCCCGCAUGAUUAGAGGUACCCGGCGUAAUUAGAGGUGCCCGGCUUGAUUAGAGGUACCCAGCACAAUCUGAGGUACCCCACACAAUCCGAAGUACCCGACAUGAUUUAAGGUACCCCGAACAAAUAAAGGUACCCGACAUGAUACGAGAUACCAUACAUAAUUCGAGGUACCCGGCGUGAUUUGAGGUACCCUGCACAAUUAGAGGUACCCUACACAAAUAGAGGUACCCCGCACAAAUAGAGGUACCUCGCACAAUUAGGGGUACCCCAUAUAAAUUGAGGUAUCCCACGUAACUCGAAGUACCCGGCAGAUCAUAUGCAAGAGAAUCCUCCGAAAAUAUCCGCCGCGAAAAACGUCUUCAUCUCUUAAACGAUAUUAUUCCAUUUUGUCAGAAUUAGGAAUCAAGAACGUCGUAGGAAAAGGGGGGGACAGCCGUCUGCUACCUCUGCCAAAAGUGAAGGACACUGUCCCAAGGACAGUGGUCCUUAGCCGCCUACCCGACAGCUACUGCAGAGGUACCUUGGACCACUCUCAAGCACGCGCCACGUUUCCAAAGGAUGAGAUACACCGCGAACAUGCACAUAACGGCUCAAAAAUCAUAAAAAGGCAAAGGGACGUUAGCCAAAAAGGGUACGCCAUGUGGCAAUUGAGGUACUCCAUAUAUAAAGGUGCCUAGGUUUUAUUCUCCAGGAUGUUCUCACUUACUAUUAACACUCACACUCUAAAAAAUAGGUUUUCUUCAACUUUAAACCUUAAUUUACAGAGGGCUAGCCAGCUCUCUUGACCAUAAAAGCUUGAGUUUGCUAACUUGAGCGUCGGAGUGUGAACGUCGGGGUACCCCGGCUUCACCUCUAACCUCUAUUUCACUAUUUUGUAGGCGUGAAGCCCACUUUGAAGGCCACCUCUCUUGGUUUUGAGCUUUCUCCAUUGUUACCACUUCAUCUCCCCUUCUCACCUCCCCCAAAUUUCAGGUACACCGCACCACGCACAACAAACCAGUGAGGUACCCUAUCUCCCUCAAAAAUACAAAUUCAUUGUUCAAGAUAUAUUUUAACUUUUCCUAACCCAAAAUCUGUUGAAAACACAUUUGAUUAUCAGGUUAUCAGCCAAAGAAAUCCGUGGCAUCAGUAGUAACUGGUCUCAAGUUUGCAGUACUUAGCAAAUCUUAUUUUUGGCUGAGCUUCGGCCUUGAUUUUUUCUUCCCCUCAAGCAGGUCAGUGGCAGAAACGUAUAGGGUGUGUACAACAUCAGGGGUUUAGCAAAUACAUUUUGGCAAGCGAAAUUGAGUGAAGACUGAAGAAGCCUGUUCAUGUGGGAAGUUUACCUCAAGCUUUUUACUAGUGGGAAGCCUGAAUCGUUAGCAGAAUUAAAAAGAGAAAUUUCACAUUUAAAUCCAGUAGGUUAUAGCUAUAGAGAAUUUAGUUAGGAGAGUAACAAUAUUCAACAAGCACAAGCUAGCACAAUAGUCAAAUUAUUAGUCAAAAUCAAUAAUAGACUAAAAGACUUAGACAAUAGGCUUAAUAGAUUAGAAAGUAAUUUUCAAACCGUUAGAAAAAACAAAGAAUCUGUAUCUCACCUAGAACUUAGCAACAAUUUAGAUAACAUAGACAAAGAACUAGAAGCAUUAACAAACCAUGUACAAAAAUUAAAUUUAAGAGAACUAGUCUUAACACGUAGGACAAUAGACAUUAAAGAUAUUUUAGGACCAAAAGUAAUAUUAAAAAGUAAUGGAUCUAGUAAGAAACAGUAGAGUAGACGUAAACAUAACAGAAAGAAUUAGAAGGUCACUUUCAUUUUCUAGCAAAGGUAAAGAAAUAAUAGAAAGAACGUAAGAUAUAAUUAACAAACAGGAUCCCGAUAAAUUAUUAGAAAAAGGUUUCGAGCAAAUUAAAAGGAAAAAAAUUAUAUAAUGAAGGUUUAAAUUCAAAAUUAAAUAAUAGUUUAUAUAUUUACACCGAUGAAACAAAAUUAUUAGUAGUAAAUAGAGAAGAAUUAACUUUAAUUAGUCCAGUAGGAAGAGAUUAUCUUAGAAAGCAGAAUUAUACAGACAUACACAUGGGAAUAAUAAUCAUAGGCAUACUCAGUCAAGCUAGAGAGGGACUAGACACAAAAGCACAUUUAUAUUUAUAUGAUAGUAGAUUUUAUGAUCACGAGCAAGCCCAAAUAGCUAGUGCAGAAGUAGAUUUAAAAAAUAAAGUAGCAGUAGUAGGAUGCAUACCCAAUAUAGAUAUAGACAUAAAUGAAUUUGGUAAACAUAUUAAAUUAAGUGUAUAAACUAAAGGAUAUAAAAUGAAUGCAGAAUAUAAAAACCUUAGAAUUAAAACAUUUUUUUUAGGAAAAUUAUAUAAUAAAUAUCAUACGAAAUUUAGAUUUGAAAGUAAAAUAUUGUAGAUUGUUUUAAAAGUCAGUACGUAGAAAUUAUAGUACCUAAAAAAUUAACCAGUAGCGAAUUAAAUGGUUUAGAAUGGAUAUUACCUAAACUAGAACAAGAUAGAAUGUUAGAAGUACCUGAGACUAGUUAUACUUAUAUGAAUAUGCAAAAUCAAGUUACACAAAGAUUUAGUAAUUACAAACAGAGAAGUAAUCUAGAAUUAUAAGAAAAUGAAGAAGAGAUAGAAAUUAAUAUGGCAAUAAUAGACAAUUUAGACAUAGAUAAACAAAAAAAAUUAAUUAGUAAUAGAGAUAAAAUUAUAGACUUAAUAUUUAGUGAACCUAAAAAAUAUUUAGAUGAAGAAUUAUUUGAAGAACUAUGUAAUAAUGAUGAAUUAACAGACGAAGAUAUAGACAGAGAAUUAAUAAAAAAAAUUUAGAUUUUAAAAAUUUAGAAAUAGAUGAAAUUUAUUACUUAGAACAUGCAGAUGAAAUAUUAGUAGAAGAAGAAGAUGAAAAACCAGAAGUAGGAAAAAGUAGCCAUAAACCGGUAUUAGAACCUAUAGUAGAACCAUCCAAUGUAGAAACUUACUUGGACAAACGAGGAAUCCCAGAAACUAAUGAAAAAUACACAGAGCCGAAAGAGUAUUUAAAACGAAGGAUUAUUUGCUUUCAUAGAGUCUAAUAAUACUUCAGUACCGUAUUAUAAAUUACUCAGAGCUUCAAAAACAAGUAAGGAACCAAGCCAUGCUAGAUAUCUGAAUAAAAGCUUAGCUUUAUUCAUAAAUACCUCUGAACCAAGGGAACCAGAUGGGGAAGUUUUUCUUCAUCCAGCAUUAUUAUUCCCAGUACAGUACAUGAGAUUGUGGCCUGAUGAACAUUUAAGAGUUUACGAGUGGCAACGAUAUGAUGGGCGGACAGUAGUGGGAGAUCUAUUGACAGGUAUUUUUGGGGAAUGCGGUUAUCCUCUGGUUUGCGUGUAAGAGAGAUUGUUACAUUUUUCUUAAUCUUUGGUUUGAUAUUCUGGAUGAAAACGGUUUGCCGUUUCUUGAGAAAACGGCUAACCGUUGAAGUCCAGAGAGCAUGUUUUUGUUCUGGGAUAAAACGACUCACCGUUAUUGAGAAAACGGCUAACCGUUUAACUCUAGAGAGAAUGUUUUAUGUUCUAGAGAAAAACGGCUCAUCGUUAUUGAGAAAACGGCUAACCGUUUAUUUACAGAGAGCAACGUAUUUGACAUUCUGGAAUAAAACGGCUCACCGUUUAUUGAGAAAAUGGCUAACCGUUUAUUUCCAGAAAGGCGUCAACUGGAAAACGGUUAAGCAAGUUUGAAAUUUAAUUGUCAAUCAAUGCAAAUUCAAACCAAAAGAGUGUCUUUGAAGAAGUACCAUUUCGAAUGGUUGUAUUCUUUUAAAUAAACAUCUUCUUCAUUAAAAGAAAGAUAUACAAUUAGAUCUAUAAUGAGUUUUUACAGAUUUCAUAUAAGUUCUGGAAAUACAAUCUUAUUUGCUAAAGAUUGUAUUCAGGAUUUGAUAUAUCUUGGGGGUAAUUUGCCAUUAAAACUCUAUAGCAAAUCAAGAUUGGUGAGGGCAAAUAAAACCUUAAAGGAAAGUGUGCAAACACAUCUCAAAUCCUAAGAAAUUAUCUCUAUUCUUUGCCUCCAUAUUAUUAAAUUCACCAACAAUCUUUUAGGUUUUAUUUAAAUGGAGGCUGAGAAGAGUUUGACAUCUUUUCUGAAUCCUAGUGUUCAUCUCAAUCGUUUUGAUGGAACUAAUUUCACUUGUUGGAAGGGAAAAUUGUUCUUUCUCCUUACUGUUCUUAAAGUGGCAUAUGUUCUUGAUCUGAAAUUGGAACCAUUUCCAGAACCAAGAGAAGAUGAUACCGAAGUUGUUAAGGCUGCAAGGAAACGUCGUGAAGAUGAUGAAUUGAUGUGCCGGGGUCACAUACUCAAUACGUUUUCUGACAGGUUAUACGAUCUCUACAAUUCUAUGACUUCUCCGGUGGAAAUUUGGAAUGCUCUUGAGUACAAAUACAAAACGGAGAAAGAAGGUACUGACAAAUUCCUUGUAUCUAAAUAUUUUGAAUUUAUUAUGGUAGACAAAAAAUCUAUUCUUGAUCAAAUACAUGAGUUACAAAUUAUUGUUGCUAAGCUUCGAGAGUUAAAAGUUGAAAUUUCUGAAUCAUUUCAAGUUAGGGCUAUUAUUGCUAAAUUGCCUCAAAGUUGGAAUGAUUAUAGAAAGAAACUCCUUCAUAGUAAAGAGAACAUAACUUUAGAAGAAUUGCAAAAACACUUGAUAAUUGAAGAAGAGACUAGGUCUCGCGAAUCCAAGGAUAAGCAUGAUUCUACUAAAGUUAAUGUUGUUGAAGCUAGUAAAUUCUCAAAGAAUUUUAAAGUCAAGAAUGACAAGAAAUUCAAGAAGUCCAGCACACAAAAGUUUUCUGGAAAUUGUUUCUUUUGUGGUAAGAAAGGCCAUCGCCAAAGUGAUUGCAGAUUCAAGAAGAAAAAGGAAGAAGUGAAUUCCCAUAAAGCUAAUGUUAUUGAAAACAAAUCUAAAGAGAUUUGUGCUAUGGUUUCUAAAAUGCAAAUUGGCAUGAUUACCGAAACCAAUAUGGCUGAAACUAAGUCCUAUGAUUGGUGGCUCGAUUCGGGUGUAACAAUUCGGGUUUGUAAUGAUAAGAAAUUUUUCUAAUCAUACAAAGAAGAAACGGAAGGACAAAUGGUUCUCAUGGGGAACAAUAAUGCAGCCAUAGUAGUAGGGAAAGGAGUAGUUGAGAUCAACUUCACUUCUGGAAAGAAAGUCACAUUGUAUAAUGUCUUUCAUGUACCUUCUGUUAGAAAGAAUCUUAUUUCUGCUAGUUGUAUGUGUAAGCAUGGGCUUAAGAUUGUGCUUGAGGGUAAUACUUGUAUUGUCUCAAAGAAUGGAUUAUUUGUUGGGAAAAGGUAUUCUUGUGAUGGAAUGUACAAACUCAGCAUUAAUAAUAAUAAUAUCAACUUAGCUUAUAUUGUUGAGUCUUGUGAUAUUUGGCAUGCUAGAUUAGCACAUUUGAACUUUAGAUCUUUGAAAUACAUGUCUAAGCAUGGUUUGAUUAAUUGCAAUGAUGUUAAAGGUCAUAAGUGUGAAAUCUGCAUCCAAGCUAAAUUAACUAAGAAACCUUUUCCUAAAGCUGAACGAAAUACUCAAAUAUUGAAUUUAAUACAUACCGAUAUUUGUGAGUAUAAUGGCAUGUUAACAAGAGGAGGUAAGAGGUACUUUAUCACUUUUAUUGAUGAUUGUUCUAGAUACACUUAUGUGUAUUUACUUAGAACAAAAAAUGAAGCAUUUGAUAAAUUUAAAAUUUUCAAAGCUGAAGUUGAAAACCAAAAAGAUAAGAAAAUCAAAAUGGUUCGUAGUGAUAGAGGUGGUGAAUAUUUCUCAAUUGAAUUUAAUAAUUAUUGUGAAGAAUUUAGAAUUAUUCACUAAAGAUCAGCUCCAUUUACUCCUCAACAAAAUGGUUUGGCUGAAAGGAAGAAUAUGAUUUUCACGGAUAUGAUAAAUUCCAUGAUCCUUAAUGCAAAACUACCAAAUAAUUUGUGGGGGGAAGCAUUACUCACUGCAUGUCAUAUUCAUAACAGAAUUACAUCUUUGAAAACACAUAUAUCUCCUUAUGAAAUUUGGAAAGGAAGAAAACCAAACUUGAUGUAUUUAAGAGUCUGGGGUUGUUUAGCUUUUUAUAAAAUACAUUAUCCUAAGUCAUCAAAGUUGAGUGCUAGAGGUAUAAAAAGUGUUUUCGUAGGAUAUGCUGAAAAUUCCAAGGCUUAUAGGUUGUUAGAUUUAGAUUCUAAUGUGAUUGUGGAAUCUAGAGAUGUUGAGUUUAUUGAGAAUAAAUUUCAACUUGAUUCUAAUAUUGAAUUAGAAUCAAUUAUUGAUCAACCAUGUGUUAAUACUCCUGUUACCUACACUAACAAUAAUAAAAGGAAAGAGUCUAUGACAUCUUUCGAACUAAGGAGGAGUCAACGUGAAAAGAAAGAAAAAAGUUUAGCUCCGGAUUUUAUUUCAUCACAAGCACUACUCUUCUUGGUUGAAGGGGAUAGAAAGAAUGUACUUAACAAAGUACCAUUGUUGUUAAAUAUUGAAAAAUAUCCAAAGACAUUUAGCGAAGCUAUGUCUUCAAGAGACGCUUCCUUUUGGAGAGAGGCGGUAAAUGAUGAAAUGGAUUCAAUUAUGUCGAAUCAAACAUGGGUCUUGGUUGAUCUUCCUUCAGGAUCUAAACCAAUUAGCAGCAAAUGGGUAUUUAGAAUAAAGUACAAUAGUGAUGGUUCUUUGCAAACUUUUAAGACUAGAUUAGUAGCCAAAAGGUUUAAGCAAAGAAAUGGGAUUGAUUAUUUCGAUACAUAUGCUCCGGUAGCAAGGUUAACUUCUAUAAGAGUGCUAUUUGCAAUUGCUUCAUUGAAUAAAUUGUAUGUGUAUCAAAUGGAUGUUAAAACAGCUUUUCUUAAUGGUGAUCUUGAUGAAGAAAUCUAUAUGGAACAACCUGAGGGAUUUGUUUUGCCAGGAAAUGAGAAAAAGGUAUGCAAGUUAGUCAAAUCUCUUUAUGGUUUAAAGCAAGCACCAAAACAAUGGCAUGAGAAGUUUGAUUCGGUAAUUUUAUCUCAUGGUUUUAAGCAUAAUAAUGCUGAUAAAUGUAUAUAUUUUAAAUUUACGAAUGAUUUUGGUGUGAUUAUAUGGUUGUAUGUUGAUGACUUGCUUAUCUUUGGAACAAAUAUGCAAGGAGUAGAUGAUACAAAGAAGUAUUUAACUUCACAGUUUAAGAUGAAAGAUCUUGGUGAAGUAGAUACUAUCUUAUGUGUCAAAGUGAAUAAACAUAGUGGGGGUUACUCGUUGUGUCAAUCUCAUUAUAUAGAGAAAGUGCUUCUUAAAUUCAAUUAUUUGAAAUUUAAAGAAGCUAAUACCCCAUAUGAUUCUAGUAUUAAAUUACUAGAGAAUUCAGGCCGAGUAGUAGCACAACUAGAAUAUGCUAGUGCUAUUGGUAGCUUGAUGUAUGCUAUGCAUUGUACGAGGCCUGAUAUAGCAUUUGCAGUUUGCAAAAUGUCAAGAUUCACGAGUAACCCUAGUGUUGAACACUGGAAAGCAAUUGGUAGGAUACUUGGUUAUCUUAAAAGGACCAUUAAUUUGGGUUUGUUUUAUAAUGAUUAUCCUGAAGUACUGGAAGGAUAUUCAGAUGCUAGUUGGGUAACCAAUACAAGAGAUAAUAAAUCCACUUCUGGUUGGAUUUUUACAAUUGCUGGAGGAGCGGUUUCUUGGGCUUCAAAGAAACAAACGUGCAUAACUCAUUCAACAAUGGAAAGUGAGUUUAUAGCACUUGCAGCUGCAGGCAAAGAAGCAGAAUGGCUGAGAAAUUUGUUGUUUGAUAUAAUGUUGUGGCCACAACCGAUGCCAUCUAUUUCUUUGUACUGCGACAGUGAAGCUACAUUGUCUAGAGCUUAUAAUAAAGUGUAUAAUGGAAAGUCUAGACAUAUUAGCUUGAGACAUGAAUAUGUGAAACAAUUAAUAGCAGAUGGUGUUAUUAAUAUUGUUUAUGUUAGGACUAAUAAGAACCUAGCAGAUCCUUUAACAAAAGGUCUUUCAAGAGACUUAGUUAAGGAUACAUCUUUUGGAAUGGAAUUGAAACCUUUGCAUAAUAAAGUCACCAACGACGGUAACCCAACUAUGUAGUAGUUGUACCGUUACUCCAUAGUUAAAUGGGUAAUAACAAGUUGUUGUUAUGUGACUGGUUUGGCACCGAGUAAUAAAUAAUCCCAUUCGAGAGUUUCAGUGUAAAUAGCUACGAGGUUGAGGUUGAGUAUUUACUCUUAAUGAAGUUCAAGUCUUAUAGUAGCUAAAGACAUGAUUUGAAACUUCACCUAAGUGAACAUAAGAAAUGGUGCCGUUUCUAACAAGAUAAUGGUUUAAUCUUGUAAAUGUUCAUGAAUCCAAGAUAGAGCACAAGGCCGGAAUAGUGCUAACUAUUGGAACACAAUUUUGAAAUUUGGGAUAGCUUAUAUGUGAUGUAUCUCGGUAUUUACUUAAGAGACAAAGUUUAAUGCUUAGCACACUAUUGUCUUGUAAAUACUUUGAAAUACACUCACUAAUUAAAGGUUAAAAUCGAAAGAUACAUUUUUGUAUACAUAAGUUUAUCAUUAAUAAAUCUGAAAAAAUAUUACAAUCUAGUGGGGAUUGUAAGAGAGAUUGUUACAUUUUUCUUAAUCUUUGGUUUGAUAUUCUAGACAAAAACGGUUUGCCGUUUCUUGAGAAAACGGCUAACCGUUUAAGUCUAGAGAGCAUGUUUUUGUUCUGGGAUAAAACGGCUCACCGUUAUUGAGAAAACGACUAACCGUUUAUUUACAGAGAGCAACGUAUUUGACAUUCUGGAAUAAAACGGCUCACCGUUUAUUGAGAAAACGGUUAACCGUUUAUUUCUAGAAAGGCGUCAACUGGAAAACGGUUAAGCAAGUUUGAAAUUUAAUUGUCAAUCAAUGCAAAUUCAAACCAAAAGAGUGUCUUUGAAGAAGUACCAUUUCGAAUGGUUGUAUUCUUUUAAAUAAACAUCUUCUUCAUUAAAAGAAAGAUAUACAAUUAGAUUUAUAAUGAGUUUUUACAGAUUUCAUAUAAGUUCUGGAAAUACAAUCUUAUUUGCUAAAGAUUGUAUUCAGGAUUUGAUAUAUCUUGGGGGUAAUUUGCCAUUAAAACUCUAUAGCAAAUCAAGAUUGGUGAGGGCAAAUAAAACCUUAAAGGAAAGUGUGCAAACACGUCUCAAAUUCUAAGAAAUUGUCUCUAUUCUUUGCCUCCAUAUUAUUAAAUUCACCAACAUUGCGGCAAGUAUAACAUCUGCUCUGGGGGACAAUGCAGUUGUCCUGCAACCUAUUUCAAGCCAUUAAAUGAAAGACAGCUUGCCCUUGGGUGCUCCCAGAUUACUCCCUUAUCGUGUGAAGCUUCGCAAGAUCAUAGUUUUGUUGAACUCAAUGAUGUCACUUACUUCGCGUUUAGCUCAUUUAGCUCAGACCUUACGAAUACAGAUCCGGAGACAUGCAAACAAGCCUGUUUAAAUAAUUGCUCUUGCAAAGCUGCUCUUUUUCAGCGUGGUUUGAACUCUUCUGCUGGAGAUUGCUACUUACCAUCUGAAAUCUUUUCAAUGAUGAAUAGUGAGAAGGAAAGGACUCAUUAUAACUCAACUGCUUACAUUAAGGUUCAAAACUUGCCAGUGCCGGGUGCAAGUCCUGGAGGAAAGGAGACGAGCCACAGAAAAAGAAUAAUGGGGUUCAUCCUUGGAUCUUUCUUUGGUUUAUUAGUUCUAAUUGGUAUCUUGAUCUUUUUCUUUCGGAAGAAAAAGGGGGCUGAUGAAAUUGAGGAAGAUUGUUUAGAUCAAGUGCCAGGACUACCCAAAAGAUUCUCAUUUGAAGAGUUGAAAGUCAUGACAGACAAUUUCAGAAAGAUACUGGGUAAGGGGGGUUUUGGCUCAGUUUUUGAGGGGACACAAACUGAUGGCACAAAAGUUGCAGUGAAACGUCUUCAAGGAAUUGAUGAAAUCAAUAAAUCUUUCUUAGCAGAGGUGAAGACAAUUGGAAGCAUUCACCAUUACUCAAUUGUUGAGGUUGAUAGGGUUUUGUGCUGAGAAAUCUCAUAACCUUCUUGUUUAUGAAUACAUGCCGAAUGGAUCUCUAGAUAGGUGGCUUUUCCAGAGAUCAGAUGAGUUUAUGCUUGACUGGCAGCAAAGAAAGAAGAUCAUCCUUGAUAUUGCCAAGGGACUAACCUAUCUCCAUGAAGAUUGCAGGCAGAAGAUACUCCACUUGGAUAUCAAGCCCCAAAAUAUUCUGCUAGAUGACAACUUUAAUGCCAAAGUUGCUGAUUUUGGUUUGUCGAAAUUGAUUGACCGGGACCAGAGCCAAGUUGUGACAACCAUGAGAGGAACUCCAGGCUAUUUGGCUCCUGAAUGGCUUAGCUCAGUAAUUACAGAAAAAGUAGAUAUCUAUAGCUUUGGAGUUGUGAUGUUGGAGAUAUUGUGUGGCCGGAAAGUUUUUGACCGCUCUCAGCCUGAGGAGGAAGACAUGUAUUUGCUAAGCAUAUUCAAUAAGAAGGCAGAGGAGGACAAAUUGUCUGAUCUGGUAGAUAAACACAGUAACGAUAUGCAAUCAAAUGAAGAAGAAGUAGUGAAUAUGAUGAAGGUAUCUGCAUGGUGUCUGGAAAGUGAUUUUGUAAAGACACCUUCCAUGUCAAUGGUAGUUAAGGUUUUGGAGGGUGUUACAGAGUUUGAGCAUAACCUCCAUUAUAACUUGGUUCAUCUACCAACUACAGUAGCAUUAACAAACGUUGAUCGUAGAGAAGAAAAUGAUAAACCCAUUACUCAAUUGUUGCCUUCAGUUUUGUCAGGGCCAAGAUGACGGCUAGCAGGUAUACAUACCACUUUUCCAUUCUUGAUUAGCAUUAAUAAUAUUUACCAACAACUUUUGUUUUUGGACUUGAAAAAGAAAUCCAAUUGGGCUUUACCAGCAACUUUCAGCAUCUUUCUUGAAAAAAAUGAAAAGCAAUUGGCCCCAAAUUUUGUAGGGUUAUUCGUGGAUACAAACCGGAAUAAAAGAAACUUCAAAUCUUUGAUAAGAAUGUAAGCUUCAUUAUCGAUUUAUUAUGCAAAGUUUAAAUUCGUGGACCAAUAACUGCAGGAACCUUCUAACGUACGUAUGUGCUAAUUCAGAAAUUCGUGGCAAGUCUCAGUAGUAAUUGAUCUCAAAUUUGCAGUAUCUGGCGAAUCUUAUCAUUGACUGAGCUUUGGCCCUGAUCUUUUCUACUUCUCAAGCAGAUCAGUGGCAGAAACAAGAAGAGGGUGCCUACAACAUUAAACUUUUGCCAAGCAAAAUUGAGCGAAGAAGUCCAAUCUUAUGGGAAGUUAACUCAAGCUUUUUCUAGUGGAUCUUCUGUAAGAUAAAUACUUCCGAAAAAUGGAUGUUCUACAGUGAUUUUGUCAGUCUAUAUUUGUUGUUUAGACGCUGAGAAUGUCUGUCUUUAGACAUUGCGAAUGUAAGUGGGGGAGGCGAAGCAAGCUGCAUUACAUUGAACGCUUUAUUUUGAUUUGUUCAAUGCUUCAAUAUAUAUAUAUAACAUUAUAAUAAUUAUAAUGUUAUUUUUAGUACAUUAUAUUGAUAUAAUAGUUGAAUAGUUGAAUACACAUAUAAAACAACAAAAUGGGUAAAUAAAAAUAAUAAUAAAAGGAUAAUUUAUAUGAUAGGAAAUAAAUUUAUUUAAUAGGGGUAUUAAUGAGAUAGAAUAUUAAAUUUUCAUUUAGAUAAAAGUUAAAAUAUUUAACCAUUUUUUAUUCAGACCUAAACAUCUUAUUAUCAUACACAAGUGAUAAAAAAACAAACAAAUAAAAACAGAAAAAGUCUUAAAAUAAUUAAAAUUUAAACUUGAGACAAAAAUCAAACAAUCCAUUACUCUUUUGUUGUUUUUUUUUUCAUUACUAACAAUUUUCUAGAAUUACCUAGAUCAAAUCUAUUAUAACAUGGUUUAAAUUUCUACUUCCACCGGUAUUAAGGAAAAAAAAAAAAACCUACUCCAUUAAUAUUUGUACAGAAAUGUCUAUCUCUAAAUUCCAUAAUUAAAAAGUGAAAAAAAUACCUUAAAACAAUUAUUUAAGUGGAAGGUGAAUAGAAUUCCAAUUAUAUGAUUAAGGAAAGAGUAAAUUUGAGUUGAACUUGCCCUUAGAAGAUUUGAAGGUUAGGGUUACCAAUGGGGGUAGCCCAUUGGCCUCUUUUAUUACUUUUAAACUGUGGAUGCAUCGAGUCUCUUUCUUGUCGAAGGAUUUGACCAAGGCAAAAACAAAAACAUAACUUGUUAACAUUUUCAUUGCCCUGUUUUUAAAAAUUCAUCUAUGGGCCUUGAGCUUGUGGGCGAGGGAAGGCACAUAGAACGAGACUAGAGGGGUUUGACUUUUUGUUCUAUAAAUACGUUUUCCAAUCAACCAAUUGUUGUAUAAUUGAAUCAUUCUGCAGUAAACCAAACCCUGCAAUCUCCCUUUCAAGUCGUCCUCUUUAUUCCGAAUUGUGCUGCACAUUUUAGGAGAUGAGUGUUAGCUGGAACUGGUGCUCUGUUCUUUUCUUUCUUAUUUUCUCUAUUACGUUUUUUUUCGUGGUUGAUGCCCGAAGCCAAAGUUUUGAUUAUCCGACAGCAAAACUCUCAACUAAAUGGGUAAACAGCCCGUCAACUCCUCAUUCAGUAACUUUCACGGACGGAUCAACGGUGAGAGCCAUCUUUCUCAGGGGAACCUUUGGCCCCAGAUAUGCAUGUGGCUUCUUCUGUAACGGAGCCUGCGACACUUAGGACCUGUUUGGUAUUAUUUUUGAAUCUCUAUUUUUUUAGAAUAAAAACGAAAAUGAAAAUGGUGUUUCGCAGUUACUGUAUUUCGAAUUUAAAUAUGCGUCUGAUAUCAUUUUCUGUAUCUUAUAUUUUAAAACUGAAAACAGUAAUAUGCGUUUGGUAGACACAAUUGAAAAUGAUAAAAACAAAGAAUAUGCGUUUGAUAAUAUUUUUUUCAAAAACAGUUUUUACUAAUCAUUUACAUUAUAUUUAUAGUCAUAAAAUAAUUAUUUAGCUAAUACACACAAAUACAACAAAAUAAUUUAACCAAAUUUAAUAUAAAAAAAAUUAUAUAAUAAUAAAGUUUAAGAAUUAACAUUAAUUAAAAAGAAGUUUGACAUUGUUAUUGUUUUUAUACUAUAUAAUUAAGGAAUGGAAAAGACAAAAAUAACAGUGAUGGGUUAUGCGUGUGGUAGGUGCAGUUAAGAGCUGUGAUUUGACGAAGAAAUGAGUACAGAGGGAAUUGAAUGGUGAGAUGGGCAUAUGCUCUUCUUGCUAACGUCCACCUUCAAAUUACAAAUUUAAAAUCACCCCAAACUUCUUCACAUCCAUUUAUUCUACCUACCACCCUUUCCCCCACUCUCCUUAAAUGUUCUUCUUUUUUGCGCAAUCUGUUGCUUCGUGUGUCACUCUAACUUAAUUUUCCCUAAACCAUAGCCAUCUCCCCCUAUUCAUCUAAAAAAAUUUCGACAAAACAAAAAAGGCACUCACGAUGAUAUAAAUAGCCACUAAAAAACCAGAGCUGUCUCUUGAUAUCUCUUCACCAGCACCACCAGCGCCGUCCAAUGAAAAGAUAGCCACCCAUAUUUUCAAAUCAAAGCUUCCCGAUAUACCCAUCUCCAAUCAUCUCCCUCUCCACACAUAUUUUUUCCAGGAUCGUUUAUCUGACGAUCCAUGCUUAAUCGUUGGCUCAACUGGCAAAACUUACUCUUAUGCCGAAACGCACCUCAUCUGUCGAAAAACCGCAGCCGGUUUGUUGAAUCUCGGCAUCAAAAAGGGCGACGUGAUCAUGAUCCUCCUCCAGAACUGCGCCGAAUUCGUCUUCUCGUUCAUGGGAGCUUCCAUGAUCGGUGCAGUCACGACCACAGCCAAUCCCUUCUACACCUCAGCUGAAAUCUUGAAACAGUUCAGAACCUCUGGCGCCAAAUUGAUUAUCACAAUGUCUCAGUACGUCGACAGGUUGUCGAAGACGGACAAAGAUUUCACAGUGAUCAAUUCUACUCUGCAAUCAAAUUGCCAGUUACAAUUUGAUUAUUUUCUCGUGCAUUUCUUUUUCUUCCUUUUCGCACAAAUCUGUGAAGGAUUUUUUUUUAAAAUUUAGGUUGCAUUAUCAAACUUGGAAAUAGAAUUAUUAUUUUUUGAACACAAAUUAAGAUUUCACAAUCUCUAAAAUAAAUGAGGAAAAAUUUCAGCUCAUAAAUAAACAAUUUGUCACUACAUAUGAACAACCUCAUAAAUUUCCAAAAUUAAAAAUCACUCAAAUCAUCUCUAAAAAUUUUCAGCUCAUAAACAAAAUAAAUACCGACAAGUGACAACGAAGUAGUAGUAGACGAAGAUCCGAGAGAGCAAAGACGAAGUAGCAGUAGACGAAGAUCCGAGAGAGCAAAGACGAAGUAGCAGCAGCUGGACGGAGUCGGAGCAGCAGCGGUUACGGCGGAGAAAGAGCAGCGGCAGUGGCUAGCACACCAAGAGCGACCAAGAGAGAGAUUUGCUGCAACUGGAUUGAGAAAAUUGAGGAGAAAGAGGGAGCUGCAGUGAACUGGAUUGAGAGUGAGGGCUGCAGUGAAGAGAAAAGUGAGGGCUGCAGAGUCACGAUUUCUUUGUUGUUUUUUAAUUCAUUUUUAGAUUUAGUUUGUAAAAUUUGGAGAACAUGUUUAACUUGUUUUCAGUUGUAUAGUUAUAAUAAUGAAUCCGAAUUUUGUGUUUUGUAAUUUGUUUUGUGAAAAAAAUCCACUAAACAUGUUUUAUGUGUGUAUUAUAAAAAUGAAAACGAAAACAUGGCUUGCAAAACGGUACCAAACGGGCCCUUAUCUAUUUGUUGUUUUCAUUGUUCAAACCAACAGUGCUUCCUCAAUUGUUGCGCCAGCAAUUGGAUUCCCACAGGUCAUCUGGGUUGCUAACUGUAACAAUCCUGUGUUAGGAAAUUGGUGGGUGAAGCAGACACGCAGUUAAAGUAAAAUUGGAAGAAAAUAAAGAACAAGUACAAUAGAGGAUACCAGAAAUUACGUGGUUCGGCUUUUAGCUUACGUCCACGGGCGAAGACAGAAGGAAAAUAUUUCACUAGUGAAAUAAGGAUUACAAGUAUUGUAAUAUUUUGGCUCACUACCUAAAACCCUAAUACACCCAAUCUCUCACUCACUAGACUCACAAGAGCUUUAUAAUUUUAGGCUCUUAAAAUCUCUCAAGCUCUCUCUCCUUGUGAUUCUCUCACAAAUUGAAUGCACAAAUCGAAAUGGGAGCUCUCCCCUUUUAUAGCCAAAAUUGACUAUUAAAAUUAUAUAUAUAUAUAUAUAUAUAUAUAUAUAUAUUCUCACCGCCAUUGAAUGUCAAAGUUUCUUCUCUUUCCUUCUUUAAGAAAUGUUGCUGCCAACUUCUUCUUCUUUUUCUUUGGACGGCACCAAAACCUUCAACAUUUUCUUUGGCCGGCUGUCAAAGCCAACUUUGCUUAUUCAAGGCUUCUAGAUGCUGCAGCCAAUUUUUACUUUCUCCCACUUGGAGAUUAGAUUGAGAAUCAAUCAAUCUCCACACCAUCCUUUCUGCUUCGCCAUUGUUAUGUUGCCUACGUUUCUGCUAGGGCAUAAGAGGAUCUACUCCAGAUAAACUUGUCAGCAUUUAUCGGCUUGGUCAAAACAUCUGCUAGGUUCUCCUUCGUAUGGAUUUUCUGUAAAUCCACACUUCCAUCUUCCACUACUUCUCGAACGAAGUGAUAUUGGACUCCUAUGUGCUUUGUCCUAGAAUGAAAGGUUGGAUUCCUUGCAAUGUGCAAGGCACUCUGACUGUCACAAUACACAGAAAUUUUUUCUUGUUUGUACCCGAGCUCCUCCAAUAACCUUUGUAUCCAAAUAGCUUCCUUGCAAGCUUGUGUAGCUGCCAUGUACUCUGCUUCUGUUGUAGAUAAAGCCACAACGGUCUGCAGUUUCGAAACACAGCUUACAGCUGCUCCUGCAAGUGUAAACACAUAACCAGUAGUAGAUUUCCUUUUAUCAAGGUCUCCUACAAAAUCUGAAUCCACAUAGCCCCCUGACAAUAAACUCUGAUCCUCCAUAACAUAAUGCAACAUCUGAGGUUCCUCUGAUGUAUCUCAGAAUCUUCUUCACGGCUAUCCAAUGUUCUCCACCAGGAUUCGCCAUGUAUCGACUGACUGCUCCCACUGCUUGUGCAAUGUCUGGUCUAGUACAUAUCAUAGCGAACAUUAAACUUCCCACUGUUGAUGCAUACGAUACUCGAGACAUCUUCUUCCUCUCUGCUUCAUUGGUAGGACACAUACUUGAGGAUACUUUGAAAUUAACAGGAAGUGGGGUAGAGAUUGACUUACAAUCUUGCAUGUUGAAGCGCUGCAAGGUUUUCUUCAAGUAAUUCUUGUGUGAAAGCCAAAUCUUCCUGUUAUUUCUGUCUCGGUGAAUUUGUAUCCCUAGAAUCUUGUUUGCUGGUCUCAAGUCAUUCAUUUCAAACUUCCUAACCAAUUGUGUCUUUAAUUCUUGGAUUCGAUCUUUGUUAGGGCCUGCUACCAACAUGUCAUCCACAUAUAACAACAAAAUAAUGAAAUCAUUAUCUUCAAACCUUUUGUAAUAUGCACAAUGGUCUGAACUGAGUCUGUAUCCAAGGCUCAUAAUGAAGGAAUCAAAUCUCUUAUACCAACACCUCGGCGCCUGUUUGAGACCGUAUAGAGAUUUCUUCAACCUGCAAACCAAGUUUUCCUUUCUGUUUCUGCAAAACCUUCUGGUUGGAGCAUAUAUAUUUCUUCUUCAAGUUCUCCAUGAAGAAAUGCAGUUUUCACAUAUAACUGCUCAAGAUGUAAGUCAAAUGUAGCACACAUCGCCAAGACUACUCUGACUGUCGUGAGUCGAACCACCAGCGAAAAUAUCUCGUUGAAGUCAAUACAUUCUUUCUGAGCAUAUCCUUUCACCACCAAUCUCGCACGAUACCGCUCCACUUGGUCAUUGCCAUCACGUUUGAUCUUGUAGACCUAUUUGUUUCCAAUGGCUUUUCUUCCACGUGGUAGUGGUACAAGUUCCCAUGUCUUGUUCUUGUGUAGAGCUUCAAUUUCUUCAUGCAUUGCUGUCAUCUACAAAGCAACAUCUGAGCUUUCUAAAGCUUCAUGGAAAGUUGAUGGCUUUUUAUCCUCUGUUAGAAGAUAGUACGCAACGUUGAUAUCUGUGACAUACUCCAAGUGCCACAUUGGCGAUCGUCUCUCACGAGUUGACCGACAAAUUUCUGGAUCCUCGGACUGGACUGGUUCUUGUUCCUCGUGCUUUAGUGCUGCUUUAGAAGAAUCUGAAUCUUCUGGAUUAUUUUCCACAUAUAGCGGCACAGUCUCUGACUUUUCUUUUGCAGUGUUAUUAUCCUCAUCCCUUCUUUGCAGUUGAUCUUCUAUAAAGAUAACAUCUUUGCUGAUGACGAUCUUGUGGGCAGUGAGGUCCCACAGACGAUACCAUUUUAUUCCAUCAGCAUACCCCAAAAAGAUACAUCUUCUAGAUUUUGCAUCCAGCUUUGUUCUUUGUUGGGCAUUGUACAUCACGUACACAUGACAUUCAAAUGCAUGUACGUAGGAAUAAUCAGCUGGUUUUUUAGUCCACAUCUCCAUCGCCGUCUUCAACCCAAUAGCUAUAGAUGGCGACCGAUUUACUAUAUAACAUGCAGUUUUGGCUGCUUCUGCCCAGAAUAAAUUAGGUAGACCAGCAGUUCUCAACAUAGCUCUUAUCCGUUCUGUAAGAGUUCUAUUCAUCCGCUCUGCCACUCCAUUUUGUUGAGGAGUGUGUGCCACCGUGAACUGCCUUUGAAUACAUUCUUGCUUACAGAAAGCAAGAAACUCGCUGUCUGUAUACUCUCCACCAUUAUCUAUCCUCAAGCACUUGAUCUUUAUACCAUAUUCAAGUUCCACCCGCGCUUUGUAUUCUUUAAACACUGAAAAUACAUCUGACUUUUUCUUAAUUGGAUAUACCCAACAUCUUCUGGAAUAAUCAUCAAUGAAAGUCACUAUGUACUUUGCACCUCCCAUGGAUAUAUCCGGUGAUUCUCAAACAUCAGAAUGAAUCAAGUCUAGAAUGCAUUUACUUCUAGCAAUAGAUCUACUAAAUUUUAAUAUAUGCUGCUUACUUGUAACACAAUACUCGCAAAAUGGUAAACUUACCGAUUUGAGCCCUAGAAGUAAUUUUCGCUCAUAGAGAAUCUUCAAACCUUGUUCCGACAUGUGGCCAAGUUUGAGAUGCCACAUCAUCGUUGACUCUUCUCCAUUUGAUGCGACACACGCAUCAGCCUCCUGUAGUGUUUCUCCUUUAAGCAUGAAUAAAUUAGCACCGAUCUUUUCUGCCUUCAUCAAUACAAGCGCUCAUUUAACAAUCUUCAUAAUUCCAUUCUCCAUAUGAGUUUUGUACCCAUGACUAUCCAUUUGUCCCAAAGACAAUAGAUUUUUCUUCAGACCGUUGACAUGUCGUACCUCCCCAAUUGUGUAAAUUGUACCAUCAAAUUUUUUUAUUUUGAUAGUACCAAUACCAGUGAUCUCCAAGGCAUGAUCAUCUCCCAUAUAUACAGAUCCUCCUGAGAUAGGUUCAUAUGUGUGGAACCAUUCUCUCCGAGAGGUCAUGUGCUAGGUAGCUCCUGAGUCUAUAAGCCAAACAUCAAAUAGUCGUUUUCUGCCUUCUGAAAUAGUUGUUGCCUCGCUGUAGAGAAUUUCACCAUCAUAUGAGGUACUUGCUACACACCCCUGAGCAUUUGAUGACUCAGGUUCUUUGCCCUCUCUUCUCUUCUGGUUACUCCAACACUCUUUCUUGACAUGCCCUUUCUUGCCACUGUUGUAGCAUUUAACAUUCUUUUUACUUCUGGAUUUUGAUCUACCAUGAUUUUGACUCCCACUGGGGCCACGUUCCGUUGAUUUCCCUCUCGUCACCGAUAGCGCCUCCGCUUGCUGCGAACUUGCUUGCCUGUUUUUCUUAUUUUUCCGCCUGCUCUCCUCAUUUAAUACGGAGGCUGCAACAUCGUCGAAAACUAGAUUGUCCACUGGAUUGUUGUUCGUCAGGUUGAUAAUGAGCUGAUCAUAUGAAUCUGGUAGACUUUGAAGUAGAAGCUCUGCAUGUUCAUUCUCCUCUAUAUUAUGACCCAACGUUGUGAGUUGUGAAAAUAGAGUCUUCAAGGUGUUGAUGUGGUCAGUCACCAUUGUAGAUUCCACGAUUCAAAGAGUAUAGAGUUUCCUCUUCAAGAAGAUUUUGUUGUGUAGUGACUUGGCCUCGUACAAUUUUGUAAGAGUAUCCCAAAUUUCCUUCGCUGUAUUUUUCUCUGCCACAUUGGAUAAUACUCCGUCUGCAAGUGCCAAGUGUAGAUAAAAAAUGGCGUUGCCAUCUAUCUCGUUCCACUUGUCAUCAGUUAUCUCCAUGGGCCUUUCUCCAAUUGCUGCCAAGCAAUUAUUUUUCCUCAAUACAGCUUUCAUCUUCAUUUUCCACACCGAAAAAUUAUUUCCGUUAAAUUUCUCAAUUUCAUACUUUGCCGCUAUUUUGUUGAUAAAUAUUGUACACAAGCUAGUAUACCACCUUGAAUAGUUGUGAGUAUGUGUAAGAAUGCACACCAGGAAAGUUCAUAGGAAAGACUGGAGGGGUCAUAAUGGUCCCACUUAAAACUCAGACUCCUUAAGCUCUUAUCGCAUUUGUGACAGAACUUUCCUAGACAUGUACAAAACCACACAGUUGCUUUACUCACACCACUAUUCCUUACUUUGCACCGCCAAAUUCUUGGAUCGCUCCCACCGUUUCUUAUAAAUAGUACCGUAUACGUGAACAGUACCGUAUACGUGAACAAUACUGUAUACGUGAACAAUGUCGUAUACGUGAAUAGUACCCCUUACGUGAACAGUACCCGACUCCAAAAAUACAACCAAUAGCUCUGAUACCACUGUUAGAAAAUUGGUGGGUGAAACAGACACGCAGCUAAAGUAAAAUUGGAAGAAAAUAAAGAACAAGCACAAUAGAGGAUACCAGAAAUUACGUGGUUCGGCUUUUAGCCUACAUCUACGGGCGAAGACAGAAGGAAAAUAUUUCACUAGUGAAAUAAGGAUUACAAGUAUUGUAAUAUUUUGGCUCACUACCUAAAACCCCAAUACACACAAUCUCUCACUCACUAGACUCACAAGAGCUUUAUAAUUUUAGGCUCUUAAAAUCUCUCAAGCUCUCUCUCCUUGUUAUUCUCUCACAAAUUGAAUGCACAAAUCGAAAUGGGAGCUCUCCCCUUUUAUAGCCAAAAUUGGUUAUUAAAAUAAUAUAUAUAUAUAUAUAUAUUAUAUAUAGCCAAAACAGAAAGAGAAUGAACAUUCUCCUCCAACUUCUCCUACGUUUUCGUCUGUCACAGAAAAUGUUAUUAAUGUCAUUGAAAAAAAUUUUGAAAUAGAUAAAAUUCUUCUUCAUAAAUAUUUUUAUUCAGAUAUUAAUAAAGAAAAAAGACUUUGGUUUUUCAAACAUUUCUUAAACCAAAGAAAAGAAAUCCAACAAGUUUAUUAUGAAUUUGUAAACUUGCAUAAAGUUCACAUAUUAUUUUUUGAUUGGUUUGAGAUGUAUGCCUCUGAUAAUAACAUUGAUUAUCCUUUCAAAGAAUCAAAUCUCAUUACUAUUAGAAAGAAAACCCCUGAAUGGAACCUUUCUGAUAGUGAUAGAACUAUAGAAUCUGAACAUCCACCUCUUAAGAGUGUGACCAUUAACCAUAGUAUGCCUCCUAUAGAAAUCAAAGCCUCACCUUAUAAAAUCCAUAAACCAAAUGAUCUAAAGACAAAUUUAGGCAGAAUUAUCCAACAGAAUAAUUUUUGUAAUGCUAACCUAAAUACGAUAGGAAAACAGUUGACUAUAAUAGAAAACCAAUUCCAGAAGUCAACCAUAGCUGUUUCUCCUGUUACAUCAAAAUCGGAUUCUGACAAAAAGCUUAAAGAGCUUAUUUUCAAACCUUUCUAGGUGUCGAAAACUAGUCAAAAGCUUGUCCAAGAGUCAAAAUCAGAUUUUGCUAAAGCCAUAAGAGAACAAAUAGAUAGAAUAGAAGCGUCUUCUUCUUCAUCUAGUAAGGUCCAAAUAGCCACUGAUAGUGCCCAAUCUAGUAAGAUUGGUGUACUAGAACAAGACAACAUGUCUAUAGCCUCUUUCGACAUAUAAGCCUUUAAAGAAGAACCUAUUUCUAAAGCCAACAAAAUCCAUUGGGAAUUAGCCCUACCUACGGUCAAGUCUCCACCUGACUUAGCCUUAGACAAUAGACCUAGUGCACUAAACCAAUCACGGUUUAAUGCAUCAUCUGUCUAUGAGUGGAAUAUUGAUGGUAUGUCUGAGUAUAACAUUCUAGGAUUGUUGCAACAGAUGACCAUGGCAAUCAAUGCAUAUAAAACUCAGUCGGGAACUUCUAACAAAGCCAUUGCAGAAAUUCUCAUUGCUGGUUUUACAGGUCAACUUAAAGGUUGGUGGGAUCAUCUUCUCACCAAACAACAACAAUUAGAUAUCAUCAAUUCAAUUCAAACAGAUGAGAAUAGAGCACCCAUCUUAGACGAAUUGAAUGAUCCAAUUCAGGAUGCAGUUGCUACCCUGAUUCUUACAAUUUCCCUACAUUUUAUAGGUGACCCAUAUCACCUCAGGGAUAAAAAUACUGAGUUACUACAUAAUUUAAGAUGUAGGAAACUUAGUGAAUUCCAAAGCUAUAAAACCACAUUCUUUACCAGACUUUUCCUUAAGGAUGAUGCAAAUCAUAUAACUUGGAAGGAAAAAUUCCUUACAGGUUUACCUACCCUAUUAGGAGAAAAUGUUAGGAAUUCUAUUAAAGCCCUCUAUGACAAUCGUAUUCCUUAUGAUGAGCUUACCUACGGUGAACUUGUCAGUUUUGUUAACAAAGAAGGUUUAAAGAUUUGUCAAGACUUGAAACUUCAGAAACGACUAAAAUGGAAGCUUAGAAAAUCUAAGCAAGAAUUAGGCAGUUUCUGUAAGCAAUUCAAUUAUGACCCCUUUAAAACUUCCACCUCUAAAGACUGUAAUGGUAAGUGUUCUUCAAAACCUUACUAGAAACAUUACAAGUCUAAAAGUCAUAAAAAAUCCUUUCAAGAUUUUAGAGAACUGUCUUAUAAGAGACCCUCAAGGCCUUAUAAGAAGCUCAGCUUCUCUAAGAAGAAGGAUUUUAGACCCAAACAAAAAACCCCUUUUAACUACAAAGAAGCCACAUGUUACAAAUGUGGAAAGAAAUGCCAUACUGCAAAGUUUUGCAGGAUGAACAAAAGGCUCCAUGAGCUUGGCCUUGAAGAAGAACUACUUUCCAAAAUUGCCCCUUUGCUUGUAGAAUCUUCUGAUUCUGAGUCUUCCAUGACAGGAGACAGUGAGCCUCUGCAGGUUGAUGAGUUAAUUGACUUAAAUACAUCUGUAUCUAGUGAUAGUGAUUCUGAUACAUAAUCCUAUCUAAAGAAAAUCAAUGUGUUGACCAAAGACCAAGAAACUUUCCUUGAAUUAGUCAGACACAUUACUGAUCCUACUCUUCAAAAAGAAUACCUUGAUAAACUUCUAAAAACUUUAGAAGUAAAUAAAGCAGAAACUUCUAAAGCCUCAAUCAUUAAAAUGAAUACUUAUGAUCUCACUGAAAUCCUGGAUAAGAAGAAAACAACUCUUAAUAUCCAAGAUCUUCAGAAAGAAAUAAAAGAUAUUAAACUGGAGAUAAAAGAGUUAAAAGAAAAACAAAAGAAUGAUUCAGAUAUUAUCCAACUCCUCUUACAAAGACAAUUACAAGAUAAUUCUAAUAAAGAACCAGAAUCUGAUGGUGAUAAUAAAGAACAAAAUCUUGACAACAUUGAAUCUGUACCCAAUGAUUUUUUGUUUGUUUUAAAGCAAAUCACCACAAGAAAAUAUUUAAUCAAAAUUACUUUGAUUUUCUUUAAAGAUUUUGAAAUAGACACCAUUGCCCUUUUUGACACUGGUGCUAAUUUAAAUUGUAUUAAAGAAGACAUUGUCCCCAGAAGGUUUCAUGAGAAAACUAAAGAAAGACUUUCUGCCGCCAAUAAUUCAAAACUUAAUGUCAAAUCUAAAGUGGACGCCUCUAUUCAUAACAAUGGUUUUGAAUUUAGGACUUCUUUUAUUCUUACAAAUGACAUACACCAUACUAUCAUUCUAGGAACCCCUUUUAUAAAUCUUAUCACUCCUUAUACUGUAAAUUAUGAUAGUAUAUCUUUUAAAGGAAAAACUAAAAAACUUAUUUUUCUUUUUAUUGAAAAGCCUAAAACCAGAAGUUUGAAUAUUGUUAAAGCAUGUUCUGUUUACCAUAACCAAAUCAAUACCCUUCUCAAAUCUAAACAAAGUGACUUAGUUUGUUUAAAAAGAGAUUUGAAUCUACAAAGAAUUGAAAACUAAUUACAAAAUGAAUUUGUAAAAACAAAGAUCUCUAAUUUUAAAGACCUCAUUGAAAAAGAAAUAUGUGCUGAUCUACCAUCUGCUUUUUGGAAUAGAAAACAACAUUUGGUUGAUUUGCCUUAUGAAAAUUCUUUUGAUGAAAAGCAAAUACCUGCCAAAGCCCGUCCAAUCCAAAUGAACAUGGAAUUAGAGCAACAUUGCAAAGAUGAAAUAAAAGAUUUAAAAUAUAAAGGUCUCAUAGUCAAGUCUCGGUCUCCUUGGUCUUGUGCUGCUUUCUAUGUCAAUAAGAAUUCUGAAAUAGAAAGAAGGACACCCAGACUAGUCAUAAAUUACAAACCCUUAAUAAAGCACUAAAAUGGAUUAGGUAUCCCAUACCUAAUAAAAAGGAUUUGCUCCAGAAACUACAUGCUUCAUUCAUUUUUUCAAAAUUUGACAUCAAAUCUGGAUUUUGGCAAAUUCAAAUUCACCCUAAAGACCGUUAUAAAACUACUUUUACUGUUCCCUUUAGACAGUAUGAAUGGACUGUUAUGCCAUUCGGUUUAAAAAAUGCACCUUCAGAAUUUCAAAGAAUUAUGAAUGACAUUUAUAAUCCUUUCUCUGAAUUUUGCAUUGUCUAUAUAGAUGAUGUGUUGAUUUUCUCCCAAACCAUCGAUCAACAUUUCAAACAUCUAAAGACAUUUUUCCUUGCCACUAGGAAGGCUGGUUUAGUCAUUUCUAGUUCUAAAGUUUCUUUAUUCCAAACAAAGAUCAGGUUCCUCGGUCAUUACAUUUCCAAAGGAACCAUUACACCAAUUGAAAGAUCUCUUUUAUUUGCUGAUAAAUUUCCUGAUAAAAUCCUUGAUAAAACCCAAUUGCAACGAUUUUUAGGAAGUUUGAAUUAUGUCCUUGACUUCUGUCCUAACAUCAAUAGGUUAUCAAAACCUUUGCAUGAUAGAUUAAAGAAAAACAUGUUACAUGGACUGAAGAACACACUAAAGUUGUUAAGCAGAUAAAAAGUUCUGUUAAAGCUAUUCCAUGUUUAUUUCUUGCUAAUCCUGCAUUACCUAAAAUCGUUGAAACUGAUGCAUCGGACUUAGGUUAUGGAGGAAUCUUAAAGUAAAAAGAUAAUAAUAAAGAACAAAUAGUACAAUAUGUUUCUGCACAUUGGAAUGAAUGUCAAAGAAACUACUCUACUAUUAAAAAAGAAAUUCUUUCUAUUGUCCUAUGCAUCUCUAAAUUCCAAAGUGAUUUAUUAAAUCAAAAUUUUUUACUUAGAAUUGAUUGCAAAGAUGCAAAACAUGUUUUAGAAAAGGAUGUUCAAAAUAUUGCAUCAAAACAUAUUUUUGCACGAUGGCAAGCUAUUUUAAGUGUUUUUGAUUUUGACAUUGAAUUCAUUAAAAGCGAUACAAAUUCUAUCCCUGAUUUUCUAACCAGGGAAUUUCUUCAAAACAGAUAAUGCCGCCGCUGAUCUUCUAUAUCAGAAUCCUGCCAUAAAACCUGAUACAAUUCCUCUAAGGCAAAGAGACCGGAUCUCUGUCCUUAGUUGUACUUUCUCUUCUCCCUCCAUUCAAUCAGAAUACUAGUUCUGGGAUCCAGAUCUAGUAUUAUCUUUCAGCCUUUGUUUGUAACGGUAUAUCGGCUGGAAAACAGAACAUGCGGGAUAUUGAUCUGUUCUAAGUCAGAUCUGGUCCCAAAGGCAGAUUAAGUUCUGUAUUGAUCUAGAGACAAGGGGAAAGGGAUUCUCAAAGACCCAGAGCCCCAAACAGAACCUAAAGCCACCCCUACUAAAGAAAAACUCUUAUCCUCUGUUAUGCCUAUUAAGUCCUGGAUGGACAUGGUUGAGGAACAAGAAGCACAAUCUAAAGCCAUUACCUCUCAAGAACAGGUAAAAGAAUGGAUGAAUUCCAUUUCAAAGUCCCCUGAGCUUAUGCUCGCUUUACAAAGUAUUUCCCAAAACAAAGCUCUUUCUCCAGUUCCUGAGGAAGAAAAAUCUGUUUCUAAAAUAGUUUCAAAGCCUUCUUUUUCUAAAGAAGUUGUUUCAUGUGAAAGCUCUUCUUCAAUCAUAGUUUCUCAAUCAAAGCUUUCACAAAAAUCUUCGGAUUGGUUUCAUAAAACUCAUCAUCAAAAUGUUUUAUCUAUGGAAGAUGAAUUUUAUCACUCUGAUCCAUUUCAAGCCAUUUCAAAGAUUUUCCCAAAAGGCUGGUUUUUCAAACCUUAGGAUUUAUCAAAACCCCAGUCUUUCUACCAAAGCAUUUUGGAAAUCACUGAGUCUGUAAAGUUCAAACAUUUCUUCCUCAGUGAAUCCCACAUUGAGCCAGCCUAUUCAACGGCUACUAUCCUUAAAGUUUUGAGCCCAAAACAGUGGGGUGAUGAACUUCACAAACCAACACUGAAGACUUAGAUCUUGAGGCGAGGAGCUGCUUCAUUACUUUAAAAUAUUCAUCUUCAUUCUUUGCACUGGCCAAAAGAGAUUGGGCCUUAGAUUUUUUAGUAAGGAAAGUACACUGAGCUUUAACAUCUUUGAUAUUUGGCUCAAUGAGGCCUUUUGAGGAAAGCCAUGCUCGAACUGUGGCUUCAGACAGUUUUGACUUUUCAUCGAAUUUAGACCACCAUUUAACUUUAAAGGUUCUUUGUAAAAUGAAUUGGGCUUCGAUUGUGUGGUAUUGAAAAUUCCACAUCCAGACCCAAGGAAUGAAGAAAUUUGUACAGAAGCAGAGAAAAUGAGGAAACCUCUUCUCGGACUCAGAAGGAAUAUAAUGGGCUUUGAAAAGAUUUAAACAGAAAGUGGCAUUUGGAGUGAGUAUUUCUGGGCAGGGCCCAAAAUAGUUCCACCACUGUUUGAACCAAUUUAGAAGGCUUUGGACGGUUAUCUUCGAAUUGAAGAAGUAUAACCAUGAAUGGGUCUUUUUAGGGUUUUGUAUGAAGAAAGUGUUAAACCAGGCCUGUUGAUAGUCCCAGUAAGAGAAAAAUAAACAGUGCUUUAUCUUUUAUACAUGAAAAAAAAAAGUAAUUAUCAUUUGAAAUUUCAGUAAUUUCCUUGUAAUUAUCGCUUGUACUCAUUUUCCCUGAACUUCUCAUUUGUAAUAAUUUCCCUGUAUUUAUUAUUUUCAAAAUUUUGUCUUCCUCUACUCACUACCCUUUGCGGGAAAAAUUGUGAAGGUAAAUUUUUAAAGUUAUCUGAAAUUUUAUCUUCAUCUACUCACUACCCUUUGCGGGAAAAAUUGUGAAGAUAAAUUUUCACAACUUCCUGGCCCACUCAAAAGUUAAAGACAAAGACCAAAUGAUGCUGUCUCCCACGAUUUAAAAGCAAGUACUGUUGUUGGGCCCCUUUCUCCACCAUCACUUGUAAAGGUUGCGAUUUAUGUGCGUCUACAGCACCAAAAGAAGAAAAAGCCAAAAGCCCCGUGAUGACACCUGGGAUUCGCGGAUCUUGCCUCAAGUCUUCCAGCCUAUUUACUCUCCUCUCUCUCAGAAGGAAGACAAAAUUUUUUGGAGAAGCAAGAAUUCUCUCUACGAGAAAUCAAGCAAGACUUCAAGGAAAAUUUUCCUGUCUUGUAAUCUUUUCCAUUUCUCCAAUUGUAAAGCAAUAUUGUAAACAUUAUCUUUCUUUAUUUUCUUUCUUUCUACAAGGCUCUCGGGAUAAAAGCAAACUUGUAAGAUCUCUAUGUAAUCUAUUUCUUGUAAUUAAAUUAUUCACCGUCAUUGAAUGUCAAAGUUUAUUCUCUUUCCUUCUUCAAGAAAUUAUGCUGCCAACUUCUUCUUCUUUUUCUUUGGACGGCACCAAAACCUUCAACAUUUUCUUUGGCCGGCUGUCAAAGCCAACUUUGCUUAUUCAAGGCUUCUAGAUGCUGCAGCCAAUUUUUACAUCCUGUUCGAAUAAAUGCAACCUUAGAACUCACGUCACGUGGGAACUUGGUUUUACGAGAUGCCAACGGAACUGUAGCUUGGUCGACGAAUACUAAUGGUAAAUCUGUUGUGGGCUUAAACUUGACAGACACGAGCAACCUUGUACUUUUCAACAAGAAAAAUGUAGCAGUUUAGCAGUUUGGCAAUCUUUCGAUCAUCCGACAGACUCGUUAGUUCCUGGGCAAAAAUUGGUGGAAGGGAAGAAACUUACAGCUAGUGUUUCAACCACGAAUUGGAUGGAUGGGAGUUUGUUUUCACUUUCUGUCACUAAGAAAGGAUUGUUUGCUUCCAUAGAGUCUAAUAAUACUCUAGUGUCAUACUAUGAAUAUAGAGUCGGUGGCACGAAAACAAGAAAGCUACCAAGCUAUGUUAGAUAUCUCAAUGGAAGCUUAGCUUUAUUCAUAAAUUUAUCGGAACCAAGCGAGCCAGAAGGGGCACUUUCUGUUCCUCCCGCAUCAUCAUUACCGGGACAGUACAUGAGAUUGUGGCCUGAUGAACAUUUAAGAGUUUACGAGUGGCAAGCAUCGAAAGGGUGGACACAAGUGGCGGAUCUCUUGACAGGUUAUUCUGGGGAAUGCGGUUAUCCUAUGGUUUGCGGCAAGUACGACAUCUGCUCCGGCGGGCAAUGCAGUUGUCCUUCAACCUAUUUCAAGCCAAUAAAGGAUAGACAGCCUGCCCUUGGUUGCUCCCUGAUUACUCCAUUGCCAUGUGAAGCUUCCCAAAAUCAUAGUUUUGUCGAACUUAAUGAUAUCACUUACUUCACUUUUAGCUCAGACCUUACGAAUACAAAUUCGGAGACGUGUAAACAAGCUUGUUUAAAUAAUUGCUCGUGCAAAGCUGCUCUAUUUCGGUAUGGUUGGAACCCUUCUUCUGGAGAGUGCUCCUUGUUGUCUGAAAUCUUUUCGAUGAUUGAUAAUGACAAGGAAAAGACUCAUUAUAACUCAACUGCUUACAUUAAGGUUCAGAACUUGGCAACGCUAAAGUGAGGAAAUAAGGCUAGUCAUGAUAGGGCCGGCUCUAGAGUAUCUCCGAAGCCUCAAGUGAAAUAUUUAAUUAAUUAAUGCAUUUUGUACUUGCUGUUGAAAUAAAUUACCUGUAAAUUUGUAAUAUUCAUUUUUUAUGUCACAUUUUUUAUCGUUUCUUCUAGACGCGCAAAAUGCGUGAAUUUUAAAUUUAUUUUUCAAAAGAAAUAAAUGUAACGGAUUUUGUAAUUGAGAUGCAAACAAUUUUUAUAUUGUUUUCAUUCUCAUCAUAUCAGCAUAUAACGAACAAUCUUAUUUUUUUUUUAAAACAAGUAUGAAUGAAUUAAAGAAAUAAGUAGAAUUAGUGUUUGGGGUAUAUAACGACGCGACUAGCUGCACUCGAACAAGGACUUCUUUCUUGUGAGCGAGAAGCUAUAUAGCAUCCAUGAGCAGGAGUUUUCUGAUUGACACUGAGGAGAGCUUCUGUUGGGGUCGAGGCAUGAGCAUAAGUUUUCUGCUAGAUACCGAGGCAAUUUUCUGAUGGGGCCAAGGCCAAAGACCUAGUCAAUGGCAGUUGUCAGAACGUGUGCUACUUUCCAAAAAUCCAAGAACGAGACCCACUCAGCCACAAUCACAAUGCUCGAGCAUCCACGAUCGGGGAUUAGGUAAAGUGGCGAACAUGGGUCGUGGAGACCGAAUUCCCAGGAGAGCUAUAAAAAGGGUCUCCAACGAAGGUAAAUGGGUUGGAUUUUUUUAGAUUGAACAUAUUAAGAAGAAAAUUCAUUUUAAUCUUUUCUCUAGGUUCUUGGUAGGGAGAAUUCUUGGGAUUUUAAAGGAUAAACGUUAUGGUGAAAAAGCCACGAGACCAGUGGCAACGUUUUUCCAAAAUAAGCCCAGAUUGCUGACUUGAGCGGCGGAGGGUUUACGCUGGGAAAAUCCUGACGUUCUCUGAUUGGUUUUUGUGCGUGUAGGAGUUUGCAGAGGAGAAGCAGCGAGCCUUAAAGUCUUGCUCAUUAAAAAUGAGUAGCAUGAAGUUAUCCCUGACCAACUACAAAUUGAAGUGUUGAGGAGAGAUUCUAAUCGCGACCGAGUAGACCCAAAAUAUUGUAUCAACAUUUUGACGUUGUCUGUGGGGAGCUAAACAAAAUGAUACCAUUAAUGGAAAGAAGGAAAUGAAGGAAGAAGGGGGUGAUUAUGGAUGUAGGGGGGAGUAGUGCUUAAGGGGGGAGGCAGGGCUCAGUGAGUUCGUGAAACUAAGUGAGAUAGCGAAUGAAGCAUGAGAGAGGGCAAUGCAUGAGCGGAUGAAGUGGAUGGAGAAACAAAUGUAGACUUUAAUAACCAUCUUGCACGAGCUAAGAAAUGAGUAGAGAGGAAUUCGCGUAGGAGGAAUGAGAAGCGACAGAAUUAUACCAAGGCCUUUUAAUAGAAGGAGCCAUGAUGAAGAGACCGCCGCGAUGAGAGGCCAAACUACCGGGAGGUUUGGUGAUGGUGCCGGUGACCAAUCGUUAAGGGGGGAAGUCAUAAAGUAGGGGAUCAACCUCAGGGCAGGUGUUGGUAUAAAUUUAAAUAUUAUUGAUGUCAAUGUACAAGUGUACACAACAAGUAAUAUAAUGAUGAGUAUUCAAGAUCUUCUCUACAGGAAUUGAUGUUAUCAGACUUGCUACAGCAAUCUUAAUAAUGUAGAUUUUGUUCUAAAUUAAAAUAAAAUAAUUAAUGAAACUAACAUACUAAUUAAAAUAAAAACGCAAUAAGUAAAAUGCAGCAAAAUAAAUUAUCACGUACCAAUGGGAAUAUAAAGUAGUUGAUUGAAUAAACUUUUUUAAUGGUUUUGACUAUUUUUUUAAUGUUUGGCUCGGUUACUACAGCACUGGGCAGAAUCAUUAUGUAUCCACAAUUAUCGCAUGUUGGAUAUCUUAAAUCUAUAUGCAACCUAAUAGUGAUAAGUUGUUUUGUCAAUAAAAGAUAUAUCAUUACACGGUUAGGUUUUAAUUACCCUACAAGGUGAAUCCCUAUGUCUAGUUCAUCAUUAAUUUUAGAUUAAGUAUGGCCCUUUUGGAAUCAAGUUGAAUUCAAUCCAGGAAACUCAAUCUAAAAUCAAGUAUUACUCUGAUAUGUUCUACUAAGAUAGGUCAUUUUGUGGCUCUUUCUUAGCUAAUAUCAUUAAAUGGGUGACCAGCUGAAAUAAUGAAUAGAAAUAAAUACUAUCAAAACAAAAUACUAUAGUAAAUAUGCAGUAACACAUAUAUUCAGUCAAUAAACCAUGAAGAUUGUUUAUCACUCAACCACAAAUAAAUUUAGUUCACGGUUUGUAAAAAAAUAAAAAUAAAAAACAAAAUUCCAGUCAUCAAACACAUCCUCAUGAUUAAAAAGUAAAUAAGAAAACAAGAGAAAAAUAAGAAAGACUGAGUUCCUGAUUAAUUUCUGUAAAUUCUCCUCUUGUCCAGCCUUCAAUCUCUCUCUUGAAUUCUAUUUUUCUUUUGUUUCUUUGUGGUUUUUCUCUUUGGGUGACGGCUCUCCCUUUUCCUUAUGAUGUGUGCUCCUUUUAUAGUUGAAAAUUAGGAUAAACGGAAAUAUAGGGCGUGUAUCUUCUAGAUUAGGAAACUGUAGAUCACAAUAUUCUGAGUAUCUCGCGCAAAAUUUUCUAUGUUGUUGUUCCAGGAUUGCCAUAGCAACGACUCCAGCAAUUGCACUGUUCCAGAUUUGUUUCAAUUUUUUUGUAAUCGAGUUAUUUUUCAUCUUUUGCAAGCCUAUUGCAACAACAUACCUUCCUUAAAAUUUGAGUUUUUAAUCACUUACAAUUAUACACACAAUCUAAGCACACAAAAUUAUUGUAAAACAACACAAUUUAUUAAAAAUAAACUAAAAUGAUUAUUCAUGCAAAAUAAAACUAAAAUACAAUAUAAAAAACGUCAUUUACUCUCUAAAUAAUAAUGAUUUACUUUAGAUAAUGAUGAUACAUAGAAAUGCUGUACCUUUUCUUAUGAGCUUAAGCUUUGGAAUUAAUAGUUUUUUAAUAUGGUGUCAUUCUGCUUUUUUCUCUAAGGUAGCCGGCACUUAUUGACGAACAAAUUUUGCUCUUGGUAAAAGGCUUGAGUCUCUGGUGAACAAACUUAUACAUUACAUUUCUUUCCUAGAUGCUUUGCCUUAGUUUUUAUACCAUUAUUUCUAAUCAAUCACUAAGAAGUGUUUUCUUUAUUUUUUGUUUUUAGGUCUUAAAAAUCCACUUACCUUGAUGAGCUAUGUGGCACCAAUUAUGGCGCUGGUGACUGCUCUUCUUUGUCUAUUGCUGGAUCCAUGGCAUGAAUUCAAAAGGAAUAAUUAUUUCAAUAACUUAUGGCAUGUCACUUGGAGUUUGUUGCUGAUGCUUUCCGGCGGAGCUUUGGCCUUUUUCAUGGUAAGAAUUGAGCUUGAACAAAAGGAUUGGGAGGAAGAUACAUUUACAUGCUUUUCGUGUAUCAUAUUGAGUACACUUGAUCUGAGUUUCAUGGUCCCCAAAAGAAAUUAACUUUUUUCUCUUGUUACAGGUUUUGACGGAAUUUGUACUUGUCUCGGUAACAAGUGCUGCCAAUGUUCAAAUUGAAGGUGUUGUCAAGGAGGCUGUAACCAUAUUGGUAAAACUUUUCUGUGGUAGUUAGUCUUUCUAGAUUAUUUUGGUAAAAUGUUGGCUGUUGUAUGAGCUUUAUUGUUUGUUCUGUAUUAUUUUCUAGUCGUUACUUUGUGAAAUCCUUUAGUUACAAUACCGUUCUGUUUCAAACAUUAAAUAUUCGAACUCUCCUAUUAGAAAAGAUAAAUACUCUGUUUGUCAUGAGGUUGCAAUUAUUUAUGAUUAUGGCGAUUGUCUUAAAAUAUUUUGCAUGGUCUGAGCCUUCUUUUGUAACUUUUGAUUGUGAUCUACAAUUAUAUUUAGAUUUAAUUUUGUUUGAGGAUGCUUGAUGCACCUAUAAGUGUAAGAAUCGCGCUUUGAUUGUUUUACUAGUUUUAUUGUCACAGUGUAGCUAUCUCCUGCAUAGACAGACCCUGUGCUUUGAUUGUUUUACUAGUUUUAUUGUCACAAUGUAGCUGUCUCCUGCAUAGACAGACACUGUAUAGAAUUAAACCCUAGUCUUAUGUUUUCUUGUUUAGUUUUUUCCUUUGGUUAAUUAUUUUAUUAAUAAUUACAAAUAUAAAAAACAUGAAUGGCUACACAGUUUAAAGACUCUCAAAGGAUUCUACUUCCAUAUGUGAAUGUACAGGUUGCAAUCUUUUACUUCCAUGAUGAGUUCACUUGGCUGAGGGGGUUUGGUCUCUUCACAAUCCUGGUCGGUGUCAGUUUAUUCAAUUGGUACAAGUAAGUCAUUAGUUAUUGUAGUUUUGAACUAUCAUUGCAUGUUUCUUCUCUUUUUCCUUUCCCCCCUUUUGUUGUUGUCCUUUUAAAAAAAAAAAAAAAAAACUAUUAUUUGGCUGUUAGAUUAUUGCUUAGUGUGUAGUGGCCAAAUAUGGAUUGUGUAAUGCAGAAUACAUAUGUAUCCAGUUCAGGGCCGGCUUUAAGCAAUUGGGGGUCUUAGGCGAAAUUUUAUUUUGGGCCUUCUAAUGUUAAAAUAUCUACUCUCACAAUAACAUUAAAUAGCUCAAAAAACUCUCACAACAACAUCAAAUAGCUCAAAAUUCAACUAUAUUUAAUAAUAUCUUGAAUUACAACAAUUAUUAACAAGAUCCAAAAAAAAAAAAAAUUGUCGGAAAGAUAUCUAUUUAUUUCCACACGAAUAUUAAUUAAUUUUGUCUUCCACAAAUUCCAUCUUCUUAAGAUACUCUAAAACUUCAUCAGCCACAACCAUAAUCUUCCUGUGAACUUUAAAUCAUUGCUCCUACGUGCUAUGAUCUUGAUGCAUAUUUUUUAGUUGACAUGCUUUUCAAAUAAAUAAAAAACAAAUAAACAAACACAACUUUUUUUUGUAGAUUAUUCAAGCCAAAAUCAAUACAAAAAAUAAAAAAUUAAUUAAUUUUAAAAAGGAUAAGAACAAUAAUAAUAAAAAAUAGAAAAAAAAUAGAAUGAUAGAACCUGGAUUUGAGUCAAUUGACAAGUUGAGAUGAAGAUGAUGAUGGCAAUGAAUUUUGUAGAGAAAGAGGAGAGAGCACAAAAACUUUUUGCUGAAAGUAGCUUUGAUUUAAUGUGUAUAUGUUUAUAGAUAAUGAGUUUUUAAAUAUAUUUUAAUAGAAUACUAAAAGUUAGCUUUAAAAAUUUAACGUUACUAAUUUUAAUAAGAGUUUUUUUUAAAGGGAAAGCAUUGAUUUUUUUUUGGGAAAUAGUAAAAGAAAAUAAAGAAGUAACGUUCAAAAUAAUUAUUAUACCAUAAAAAUAUAUCUUAUAUUUAAGGUAAAGAUUAUCAAAUAAAAGAUAUAAUUAUAAAUGAGAGUAAUGAUAGGGUAAAGCCUAAAAAUUAGGUUUUUUUUAUUGUACAAAAAAUAUAUACGUAGCUUAAUUUUUUUAAUAUUAAAAAUAUAUUUAUUAUAUUAAUUAAUAAAUAGAUACCCAAAAAUUAGACCUUCCUAAAUACAAGAUCCUAAGUAACUGCUUAGUUCGCUUAGCACUAAAGCCACCACUGAUCCAAUUCAUUGCUAAUAAUCUUAAAACUUUCUCCCAUCAAAGAGUCCGAUUAAAUGGGACAAAAUAUAAUUGUAGAACUUUGGACUGGACAAAUUUUCCAUGACUAGCUUUUGCUUUUGGCUGUUUGCAUGAGAAGGAUGCUCCUUUAACUUGCACGUUUUCCAUGUUAAAUGCCCUUCUAUAACAUUAAUCACUAAAGCUUGGUUGAUGUCCAUCAGAUGUUAUGUGUCAGAUUUGCGAACAUUCUGGUGGUGAGCUUUAAUCUUUUCUGUGAACGGUUAGCCUGCUGCACAAAAUUGGAUCAUUAUACAAAAGUUCCACAUAAUGUGCCCUAGUAAUUGAAGUUUGAUAAAGUUUAAGAAUAUAAUAAUGGCAUUUCUCGACAUCCAAGAAAGCAUCCCAAUGGUCAUUAUGUGUCAUUAUAAAUGGGAUCAACCAAAUUAAAAUUGCCUUGUCCUGUUGCUAUCAGUUAGCAACGAGAAUUGAGAUUUUACCGGCUCAUCCAGCUAAAUUUUGUCAGUCCUUAGCUCCUCAUUUACCAAAUUUGACAUGUAUUGAUUGCAUUUGUUUGUGGAUCUCUUGAAAUAAUAUUUUGGUUUUUGAUGUUUCUUCCUGACAUAUUAAAAAUAUUGGAAUUUUAGAGUUUCUCUAGUAUCUGAGCUUAUGGAUUAGAAAAGCAUCAGUAUUCAACAUUAGUUGUGGAACAAUUUAAGGGCAGAAUGAUAAAGCUUAACUUUAAGCUACCUAAUCUUAACACCCGAUUUCUACUGUGUACUUCUUGUCAAUUUUUUCCUAAUCUGGUUUUUGUUAUUGAUUGUUACUCUUUUUUAUCCUUUUGCAGAUACCAAAAGCUACAGGCAGGUCAUCCAAAUGAAGAUGGCAUGUUGGGAUCACCUGACGCAAAUGCUUCUGCAAAAUAUGUUAUUCUAGAGGAGAUUGAUGAUCUAGAUGAGGGCACUUGAAAUUUCUAGUAACUACAUGAUUUGAAUUUUCAUAAUCUUGUGUAAGCCUAUUGCUGAACCUUCUCCACUAAAAACAUUGGACAUGUAUACAGUUUGGGGUGGAACCUUAGGUUGAUGCAAUGGUUUGAUUUGGUAUUUAUCACAGUGUUCCAAGUUUGUGUAAUGAUAUCCAUUGAUGUACAUUUGAUUAUCAGGUUAUCAGCCAAAGAAAUUCAUGGCGUCAGUAGUGACCGGUCCCAAGUUUGCAGUAUUUAGCAAAUCUUUUUGUUGGCUGAGCUUCGGCCUUAUUUUUCCUGCUCCUCAAGCAGGUCAGUGGCAGAAACGUAUAGGGUGGGUACACCAUCAGGGGUUUAGCAAGUACAUUUUGGCAAGCGAAAUUGAGUGAAGCCCAUUCAUGUGGAAAGUUCACCUCAAGCUUUUUACUAGUGGGUCCUGUGUAGGAUACAUAUUUCUUAAAUGCAUACUCUACGGUCAUUUUGUCGGUCGUUGAUUUGUUGUUUAGUUUAGACAUUGAGAAUGCAAGUAGCGAAGCAAGCUG